Molecule: long non-coding RNA, 54705 nt
Filed under: Prunus persica (peach)
Lineage: Eukaryota; Viridiplantae; Streptophyta; Magnoliopsida; Rosales; Rosaceae
Description: long non-coding RNA (PPER_LNC001560)
Source: RNAcentral
UCAAAUUAAUCAGUUCAAGACUAAAACUUACUUGCUUGAAGAUUAAUUUAACACUUGGGGUUUGAUAUAUUUUCAAUUGUAGCUUCUGUUAAAAGUUAGGGUUUGAGAACACCUCAAGGGUGGUCGGUUAAUUAUCAUUCAGGCACGGAGGGCACUAUAUUGUGUUCUCUUUAUUUGUAAUCCAAAAGGCGAAGUAAAAUCAUAAAUCGAAAGAAAAUUUAUUUUACCAAGUAUAUAACACUAAUGUGGAGGGAAGAAAAAAAGGUUACAUAUUUUCACUUUUAAUUCAAUUUAACCACUAUAGUUUAAACAUGGGCAUAUGAUUAUAUCCUGACAAAAGUCCAACACAAGCCACUCAAAACUGAAAUUUGAUUAGACAUGCCCCAACCCAGGCCUCACAUCACUUGUCUUAUUUUACAAUAUCUAAAGAGAAUUCUUUCCACCCAAACCCAACUUAUUUUUCAUGUUCCAUUAAAAACCCAACACCACUCUGAUUAAAAUUCCAUUUUACCUACUUCUAAUUAUUAGUAGGCAUUUCAUUGAAGGAGCCCACCCCAUCACCCCAACACAAACUUAUCAAUACUUGGUCAUUUUCAUGUCGACUAUAUGAUGCUUUUGACAGCAAGCAAUGUCUCGUUUGUAUACUUAUAAUCCCUUUCCUUAUAAAAAGUAGACUAAAACCGCAAAAAAGUUUCAAGUGUCUCACUUUGAGAGCCAUAAGAAAUGAACCGCACAAAAUUAAUCACAGCCAUGGCAAUAUGGCAUGUUGGAAUGGAUAAGCUUAAGCCCCACUGCAUGUGAUGGCUUUAAAUGAGGGCACUUUGAUUUCCCAUCUUGGUGAUUUGGAUGAUGAAGACAUAGCCCCAUGCUCAGCUUGAAUUUGAUCAUGCAUAAUUCAUGCACCAUGUGACCUCUCCACAUCACUUCUUGCUCAUAUAUAGCUAGGUUCACUUCUAUCUUGAUUCCUUGAUCUAAACAUACAAAAGAUUUGCAGUAAUAAAUAAAACUAUUUUAAGAUACAAACCACUUUAAUAAGUCAAAUUUGAUUGGAUAAUGAAGGACUCGAUCGCUUGAUAACACUUUCGUUUUUCCCGUUCAAUGUGUCAUUUUUAAAGAAAGAGAUAUAUAAAAGAACAUAGAAAAUGAUAUAAAAAGGAUGGGAGAAUAACGGAAGCAUGAAAAGAAGAUGGAGGAAUGAGGGUUAAAAGAACAAUAACUCAAUAAACAAGAAAGAGAAAUAUUUUAGUUUUCGUUCUAUGUACUAUUUCACGUAGAUAUUCUUCUUCUCAUAUAUAUUAUUUUAUUUUCACUAUCUUUUCAAAAAAAUAAAAGAAUCAUGUUAGGGAGACCAAUUUUAGAUACCAACUUGUGUAUCAUUUCUCUAAUAGAGGUGGAGCCCACCAAUACAAUGGAUCACACGCUCUAUUAGAAAGAUAGUACACAAGUUGGUAUCUAAAGUUGAUCUCCCUAGCAUUUUCUUAAAUUAAAAUUGAAAUUGUUAUUAAAGGACGCUAAUUUCAACGGUAGAACACUUUACGCUACACAUAUGGACAAAAAUUGGAAUCUUGCUUUCCUCUACCCUUCAAUCGAAACAAGAAGAUACAGUUGAGAGACGAAUAGAAAAAAAUUCGCAGGAUUUUUUCUUGAUGUACAAUACAAAUACAAAACAUUUCUCAUCACAGAAAAACGCCCAAGUUACGAUACGACUUAUUAGAUGUCAACAAUCGAAUCUGCACUGCCUGGUAUCAAUCACAUUUUGGAUCCACCUAAAUACCCAUCUAAUCAUGCAAGAUAAACGGACAAAAGGACAUAUUGGAUUGGGAUCAUUUUAGACGGAAUUUUUUGCCACCACAAAUUAAACCAUGCAAUGUCAAUACCAUUCUUUCAUUGACCACCUACAAGUUUCUUUGCCUUGUGAAUGCUACGUGAGUGAUGCUGCUCACGUUGAGAUUGGUAGCAUAAAUUGUUUUAGAGCAAAGGGUAGCAAUCAUGUCAAGUCAAAUUAUGUUUAUUAAGGAACUAUCGAGUAUUAAUCAAUCUUAAUAUGUCUUGUCUAUUUAAUCAUGAAUAGAGAUUAACCCGACUUGUUAGUUAAGUAUCCUCAAGUGGCACAUGUAUCUGAUUAAGAUUUGUAAUUUUUUUUAGUAGAUAAUCGAAGUGUGAGUAGAUAUAUUUUUGUAACAUGUUUGUAUGGAUCAUUUGUGUUUUAUGCUGAGGAUUCUUGCAUCACCUAACAUGUCUAUGUGGUGUGGUGUGGUGUGUAUCGAAUUCACCAAAUUAUAGAGCAUAUACAAUCAUUUUUUAAAAUAUAUUUUAAAUGACCAUAAUGCUUUAUUAUUGCUUCUACAUAUGUUAUAAUAUGAAUGGAUUUAAUACACUGUAUAGGCGCACCGACUUGGUAUAUUAUAUACAAUGACGUAGUCGUUAUUUUUUUGUUGAAGUGAUAUUUUAACUACUCUAAUGUGCAAGGAAGAGAAUCGAACUUGAGUAUAAAAGGGCGGACACACUAACCUUACUCAACUAGCCUGACCCGCAUUGCACAAUAAUGUAGCAGUUGAUUGUGUCAUCUUCACUUGUUAAUUUGGUAUGGAAUUCUUAUAUCCCGUUUAAAAUUGUAUCCAAAAAGCUGGACCGUCCAUGCCCCAAGUUCAUUGAUAAGGGGCAUGAUCUUGUAGCCAUAGUCACGUUACUCUCUGCUUAGCUAGUACUUGAUUGUCGUGCUUACUUAAAAUUCCAACUCAAACCAAAUCCUUUCUGCAUUAAUUACUUAACCAAUUUUCAUCUAACAGAUGUCAACAUUCUAUACAUUCAAAAAUGGAUGCAACUAUCGACAUUGAGACAAAAUUGAAAUUGAGGAAUUUAAAAAUAAAUAAAUAAAUAAAAUUUUGACCUAGAUAAAUACCAAACAAUAUUAUACGUGUUAAGAAUUAUUUUUCCUGUCAACCAAACGAAGCACUGCAGUAUUGUUCUUUGGUUGAGUUCCUGAAUCUUGUACGUAAGCCAAGCCAAGGUCCAUUACAGACAAACUGGAAGACAGAAAAACUGUAGGAUCAAAAGCGAUUUCCAAAAGCUAAAAAAUACAUGCAUAUUGCUUGUUUAAAUAUGAAUCAGAAAUCCUUUUCCGAUACCCUACGUAGCUGUUUGAUUGUUUCUAGUCUUUUAUUUUCUUGUAGGUCCAUCAACAAACACAAUUAAUUUAACAUCACUAUUUUCUUCCCUUUUUUGUUUCUUGUUCAUCCCAAACUUGAGACAUUUCAACAAAACGCAUCAACCAAAUUAUAAUUAUAAUUAUUUAACAAAACAGCCCGUGAUAUAGCCUCACCAAGUUUUGUUUGAUCAGUUGGGGGUUGAGAUGAGUCUAAUAAAUUGCCCACUAGACUUCCAUUCCAUGGCAUCUCAAAGAGAAUAAUCAUUUGGUUGAGACUGAGAGUGGGACAGAUAUAAUAACCAAAUUGUAUUUGCACCAACCACUUGCGCCUUGGCCAAUGUUAUUAUUAUUAUGAAUGAGAAGGAAAGGGCAAAAUUAACGGAUAAAUUAAGGACCACUGUGAUCACUGUAUUAUGGUAUGAACGAUCCACCAAAAAUAGACUCUUUACAAGUCACUUAUAGACUGUGGCUUAUAUUCAUGUUCGUUACAGACAAUCCGUGAUUAAAGGGUGUUGGUCAUAAAUUAUGUGAUUAUUGUAGUUAUAGGUGUUGUCAUUAAUUUUAUGCCCCUUGUUCUAGUAGUUCUUUUAGCUUCAGGUUCUGCAAUUAGUUCUCCAAUGCUUCCAGAUUUAAAUCUGUUUGACAUUAAUAUUAGUUAAAAACAAGUAUGAUCGUUUGAAAUUAGCAAAAAAUAAAAAAACAUUUGGGGUGAGAGAGGCUCGAACUCUCGACCUCAGGAUAACUCAGAAGCUAUGAGACCUACGCGCUAGCCAACUGCGCCACCACCCCUCGAUGUUAUUUUCUGUCCAAAACAUUCUAAUUAUUCGCUUCAACAGGUCAAUCUAGACUCAUCUUGAUUUCAGCAUAUAAGCCCUUUUAGCCCAACGAACUUAGUUGAAAAGCACCAAAGUCAGCCCAUAAAGUUGGUUACUGGGGCUAUAUAAUUCUUGGUGCUAUCUCUUCUAUAUUAAUGGGCCUAAUGGGCCUAUUGGAUUGCUUUUAUCAAAUAAAUUUAUUUUGACCCAAAAAGGUAACUUGAUAAUAAACUACUUAUAUAAUUCAUAAAUUAAAAGGAAUUUUAAGAUCGUUAUUGAAUAUGACUUGACGAAGGCAUCAAAGAAAUCUUGGGAAACUCUAGCCCCCUUUCUUCCAAAAAAUAUUUUUAGAGCCUUUUCCACUUUGAGGGGGGAGGAAGCCAUUGUUCUUCCUCUCUCUCCCCUCUUCUCUUCCUCUCUUCCUCCUUUCACCUCUUCCCCCAUUUUCAGAGACAAAGGGUUUUUCCUAUUUGUCUUAGUUUUGUUAUGAUUUUCAUCCAACCAUUAUAGGCGGCUGCGGCUCAGCGUCGGAUCUUCACCUGCAUUUCGGCGUCGGAUCUCCACCACCAUCUUUUUUGCAAUUUCUUUAUGUUUGGAAUAAGUUGCAUAGACUCUUUGGGUUAUCUGUAUAGUUUUCACCUCUCAUUUUGUGAGAGUUUUUCAUCUCUCCUUUGUGAGAGCUUUUCAUCUCUCCUUGGGGAGAGUUUUAUUUGUAUUGUUCUGGCUUAGUUUUUUCAAGCUUUAUCUCUUUUCUAUUAUUCUAAGUUUGCAAUCUUAGUUGGGAUGCCUAUGCCAGAGUUUCUUCGAUCUUGCCUGAUCGUUAGUGGAAACAUACCUGAUUUUCUUAAUUUUGAUAUUAGACCGCUCCGUUAUUGUAAUGGCCCUUUGUGGCUAGUAACUUUUUUGGCUGAAUUAUGAAUGCAAUAAUAGAAUUUCUCAACAAAACAAAAAAAGAUCGUUAUUGAAUCAAAAUUAAAAGGACCCUAAACCUCCUUAGUACCAAAAAAAGUAAUUAUAGUGGAGUAUUGGAAUACAGCCACAUGAUAACUCAUUCAUAUGUUAUUCACUCAUAUUGUGUAACAUGUGGACGGGUUAUAUCAUAUAACUAUGUUGCAGUAUCAUAUAAUAAUUUCUUCACAAAAAGAGAUUGUUAACUACUAUAAAUUAAUCUAAUUUAUAGAAAAAGGAAAUCGAACUCAAUGCAAAAGUACGAACAUACUAUCUUGACAAACUGGCUUAAUCCAGGUCGUACUUUUAAUUAAUUUGAAGUAUGUAUAAUUGAGAAUGGUAGAGUGAGUUUGUAUCCAAACAAAAUCUUGAAAUUAUUGGGUCACAACGUUAAUUCCUCCCAAAAACGUAGCGUUGGGCCCACUGUUAUAGUUAGUUCAUCUAUAAAAAGGUUAGUGACAUCCCAACUUGCCUAACCAGACUUUUCUGCUCCUAUUAAGUUCGUUAGUCAGAAGAAAAAAUUACAUGCAACGAGGCGUUAAGGUCGACAUGAGCAAUGGUUUUGUGGGCUCUAAUGACCUACAUAGACAGUGUUUUGGAUUAAAGUAUUAAAAUUUCAUUGGAUUUUCUUGUAUUAUUUCUGAUUUCAAGUAGCAAUGAUUCAUAAAAAAACAACAAUAUAGAAGUCAAAAAAUAAAAAAUAAAAAAUUGUUGCAAGUAUUUAUCUUGUUUAUGCAUUAAAUUUAAAUCUAUCAGGCAUAGCCUCUUAUUUUAGAUUUUUAUAUAUUGAAGUUUGAAUUUAUAUAAUUUAUUUGUCAUGAAUGGGAAAUUUUUAGUUAAUUUGAAUAAGUUAAAUCUUGAUUGAAAAAUGAGAGUGAGUUUAGCACUUAAGUGAAAAAACAUAUAUUUGAAACUUGUUGGAAGCACUUUGUGGUCAGGGAUAAGCCAAACUCCGAGUAUGGAUUAAUUCCACUUUACGAGUGUGGGGACACCUCAUGAUAUUUACAAAAAAAAAAAAACAUAUUAUAUAUAUAGGGGCCCUGGUCAAUCUGUUAGUAGAAUAAUUGAACAAGAAAACCCUUAUUUAUUUAUUUUAUAUAUAUAUAUAAAUACAAACAAGAAAACCCAUUUUAUUUCUAUAUAAAAAUAAAAAUAAAUUUUUUUUAUAAAAAAAACCCUAUUUUAACUCCUACGGUACUUAUCAAUUUAGCAAUUUAAGAGUAAGGGUAUUCGGGUAAUUUUGGCAAUCAAAUAAAACCCUUAGGGGUCGUUUGGUACACAGGCUUGGCUUGGACUGGCUUGGACUAAAUUUAGUACCAUGUUUGUUUCAUUUAAUUCUAGUCUUAGAUGGGAUUGCUAAUACCGGGCCCACCAAAAACACCUCCUUAGGAGGGGACUACUAAUCCCAUGUAGAAAGGGAGGAUUAGCUAGUCCUAUAUUUACCAAUGUAUGAGAUGCAUAUAUUAUAUUGUAAUACUAGUAACAUAUAUUACUAUUAUUAUUAUUAUUACAUACACAUAUACUAUAAUGUACAUAUAUACAUGUAUAUACACAUAUACAAGUAUAUAUAUAUACACAUAUAUACAUAUAUAAUAUAGUAUAAAUACAUAUAGAUAUAUACACAUAUAUUAUUAUUAUAAUAUACUCAUAUACACAUACAUAUUAAUAUUAUAAUAAUAGCAUACAUGUAUACAUGUAUAUAUGUAAUAUAUAUUAUAUUAUAUAUUAAUGUACAUAUAUACACAUAUAUACAUGUAUAUAUAUAAACACAUAUAUACAUAUAUAAUAUAUAAAUACAUAUAUAUUACGUAUAUACACGUAUAUAUGUAAUAUAUAUUAUUAUAAUACAUGUAUAUAAGUAUAUAUACAUAUAUGUGUAUAUAUUAUACCCAUGUAUGUAUUAUAAUAUACAUAUACACACGUAUAUAGACAUAUACAUUAUAUAUUUAUACUAUAUGUAUAUAUAUAUAUAUUAUAAUAUACAUAUAUACACGUAUAUACAUGUAUAUUAUUAUUAUAACAUACCCAUAUAUAUUAUCUAUUAUAAUAUACAUAUGUAUAUGUAUAUGUAUUAUACCCAUGUAUAUAUUAUAAUAUAUAGAUACACCUAUAUACAUAUAUAUUAUAUACAUGUAUAUAUGUAUAUAUAUAUGUAUAUUAUAAUAUAUAAUAUAUAUACAUAUAUUAUACAUAUAUUAUAUAUACAUAUGUAUUUUAUAAUAUAUAUAAUAUAUGUAUAUAUACAUACAUAUAUAAUAUACAUAUAUAUACGUAUAUAUGUAUAUUAUUAUUAUUAUUAUUAUUAUUAUUAUAACAUACCCAUAUAUAUUAUAUAUUAUAAUAUACAUACAUAUAUAUAAAUAUAUGUAUAUGUAUUAUACCCAUGUAUAUUAUAAUAUGCAUAUAUACACCUAUAUACACUUAUAUAUAUGUAUGUACGUUUAUAUUAUUUAAAAUAUAUAAUAUUAUUAUAAUAUACUUAUAUACAUGUAUAUACAUAUAUAUUAUAAAAUACAUAUAUACAUAUAUAUAGAUAUUUUUGAAAAAAUAAAAAAAUUAUAGUCCUAGUCCAAGUAUACACCAAACGCAGGAUAAGUGUUAUCCAACUUAGACCAAGCCAAGCCAAGCCAAGCCAGUCCCUAAGCAUAGUCCAUGCCAAGACAGUCCUGUGUACCAAACGAGCCCUAAUUCUUUUCCCCUUCACUGUCAUAGACGCUCACCUUCCUCUCCGACUCUCUGUAUUCUAUCUCCCUUUCUCCAUCUCUCUCUACAUUGCCGCCGGCGGCCAGAUUUCAGCUUCUUCUCUUGUCCUAUGUGCUUUGCCCUUUUUCUACGCUCGCUCUGUAGCUGUAGAAGUGUUUCAUCAAUUGAUAGCAAUUUAUUGUACUGAAUGAGAGAGAAAGCUUUGAUCAAAGAUGUUUUAUUUAUUUGUUUUCUUCGACUCCUUGUAAGAUUUUUUUAGCCAAUUUUUGUGUGUUUACAUGCUGUGUCUGAGCACUUUUGGAAAGCACGAACGAGCAAAAACUCAAUGCUAAUUGCAAAAACACGACACAUUGCUAUUCAGCUGAUGUAUACUGAACCAGACCACAAGUUGUUGUAGCAAUCAAUACAAUAUAACACUGUUGCUAAUUAUAAACAAUUUCAAAAAAAAUCCAUCUAACCAUCGCAUUAAUUCAAAGGUUAUUAAUGAAAAAAAUGUGAACUUAAGAGUCACAGAGGAAAGCACCAAACAGAUUAAAAAAGGGGCUGCUAUGAAAAUUUAUUUAAGCACACCAGGGGAGGCUUUCAACAUCUAUUUAAGCACAUGCUAAGGGUAAAAAAAUUUGAAUUCGUGUGCUAACACUAGACUGACGUCAGCUCCCCUUCGGGCUCGAGUUCGGGCCAAAUUUGUCUUCAGGCCAGCCCGACUUCGUGAGACCUAGAGGUGGGCAUUGGGACUGGAAAACUGGAACACCGAACUGAACCAGUGAAAAAAAUCUGAAAAAAAAUCGGUUGACCAAAAAAGUCAACAAACCGGACCGGAACCAGUUCUGGUUUUACACCCCACCCCACCGCACCGGAUCGGACAGGUCAUAUAUAUAUAUAUUUACAAUAUUUUAAAAUCUAAUGCCAUAUUUUAAAUUUUAUAAUCACUAUUUUUCCAAGUUCAACUUCAAAAAAUUUAUAAAUGUAUGAAUUGGAUUAUUUGUUAAUUUUUAAGCCAAAAAAAUAAGUUAUUUAUUAUUAUUAUUUUCUACAAAAAAUUAAAAAAAAUAUUUUGUUUUUUUUAAAAAAUAAAAAAAAUAAAAAAUUAAUAAUCCGAUUCAAAACCGAAACCGGUCAGAACCGAACCGGCAUGUUUUUGAAAUUUUUUUUGUCUAAACUGGACUGAUUAAAUAGUAUCGGUUCUGAUUUGAGGUGAGAAUCGGAUCGAACCAGACCGCGCCCACCCCUAGUGGGACCCACACCCAGCCCGAAAGGCAUUUUUCUUCUUGGGCCUCCCCUUGCCCCAGCCCGAGCGCAACGGUGGAAUUGCUCUAAGAGCUGGACUAGGUAGGCCUAUAACCUCAUUAGGUAGGCUUAAUGUAGUCCAGCCCAAAUUAAGACCCAAAAACACGCGAGCACCAGGUCUGCGUCUUCGUUGUUUCAACCGUCAAAUCGUCGAGCUUGUCUUCACCAAACCUACGAUUUUUGCUCAAAAUCAUAAGUAGGUACGAGUACUUGUCUUUUUAAAUAUCAGCUUCUCAGAUAGUUCCCCAAAUACCCAUUAACUAGAAGGCGGGGCAUUUUGAAAAAGGUCAAAGGAGAGAGAAAUCUUUUUAAAGAGCCAAAAUGGACAAAAAUGCCAUUAUUUAUUUUUGGAUUUCCUAAGGAAUUCUUUACACUUGCAUGUCUUUAGUUUGAAGUUGAAAGGUUUUUCUGUAUUUUUAAGAAAAAUUUUGACUUUUUCCAAAAGUGAAAUUUUUUUUUUAUAGCUAAAACAUAAAUUUACUUUUGUGUUCAAUCGUAGUUUGAAGAGGAGCAGCAGCCAAAAUCUGAGGUACCCUUUUCUUCCGAAUUUUUUAUUUAAUUUCGAAUUUAAAAUUCUAUCAAUGAUGUUAAAUUUCCUAGAAUAUAAAGCUUUUAAAUGGGCUUUUGAAGGCCCAAACAAUUUUAUACCCAGCAAAGAUUCUUGUGCAGCUCUCUCUGGGUCACUCACGUUUUGAACUUCUUCCAGGUCCCAUAGGAACCCCCUCUUCUUUCUCCAUUCUUUUAGCUUGCUGCUGUCGCGCCGGAGCUGCAACUACCCGGUUAGUAUUUUUUAUUCAUAAUCACUCCCUCAGAAGUUUAUGCUUGAUUUCUUGAUGUUUUUCCCUUCAAUUCUACAUAUUUUAUAUAAAGAGUUUACUGGGUUUUCUUAGAUCAACUGUACCAACUUGAUGGAGUGCGUGGUUCAGGGAAUUAUAGAAACACAGGUAAGUACUUUGAUAAUGUGGGGGUUGGGUUAGGCUUACAUUUUGUUAUACAAUUUCUGGAAAUGCCUCUAAAUUCUGAUCACUUGAUAGCACACCUAUGUAUUGCUGCUAGGGGAGAAAGAUUGAAUCUUCUGCUUAGAGCUCACUUUUUGACACAUAUCUUCUAACCAUGUUUACCAAAUUGUUCAUUGGAGGCUAAUAUGCGAGAAAGGAAGAAAAUCUAUAUUUGGUUUUUUAUUGAGUAGUUUUUGUUUUCUUGCAUGUACAAGUUAUUCAUGAUUAUGGACUCUAUUUUGUUCACGAUUGGAAAUAGAUCCCUAAAAGAACCCCUUUUCCCCCAUCUGUGGUUAGUUGCUGUAGCUGCAUCUAAAAUAUGGUUUUCAUUUGCAGCAUGUUGAGGCCCUUGAGAUUCUUCUUCAGGGUCUUUGUGGUGUUCGCAGAGAAAAUUUGAGGGUCCAUGAGAUAUGUCUUAAAAGUGGCCCGAACCUUGGUAAUUCAUUUCUUUUCCUCUUUUCAUAUUGAGCUGUGUGGCUAGAAUAAUGUGCACAUUUUCUAUACAAUUAAGCCAAAGUCAGAAUAGUCAAUUUUCCUCUUUUAUGGACUCAUUUAAAGAGAUGUUGAAAGCCUUCCCUGGUGUGCUUAAAUAAAUUUUCAUAGCAGCCCGUUAUUUUUUAAUCUGUUUGGUACUUUUCCUCUGUGACUCUUAAGUUCACAUUUUUUCAUUAAUAACCUUUGAAUUGAUGCGAUGGUUAGAUGGACUUUUUUGAAGAUUUUUAUAAUUAGCAACAGUGUUAUAUUGUAUUGAUUGCUGCAACGACUUGUGGUCUGGUUCAGUAUAUAUCAGCUGAAUAGCACAGAAAGAAAUUAUUUUGUAGGCCGUCCUAGUAAUGAUCUUCCUUUCUAUAGGGGCUGUAGCUUCAGAGGUUCGACUUAUAUGCAAUCUUGAGCAAACUGAACCAACAUGGUAAGACUUAAAAACCUGCCUUGUCAUAUUUAUUAACACGUGGAAAUUUGUGUUUUACACAUACAUGUGAUUGUAUCUAUGCCAAAUUCUGAAUUUUGUAGGACCGUAAGGCAUAUAGGAGGUGCAAUGAGAGGUGCAGGUGCUGAGCAAAUUUCAGUUCUAGUAAGAACAAUGGUCGAAAGCAAAGCAAGCAAGAAUGUGCUUCGCUUAUUUUAUGCACUUGGCUACAAGUUGGAUCAUGAGCUUUUGAGGGUGGGAUUUGCCUUCCAUUUCCAGAGGGGCACACAGAUCACUGUGACUGUGUCAUCAGUUAAUAAGAUGCUACAACUGCAUGCCACAGAUGAGGCUGUCCCUGUAACUCCCGGGAUACAGUUGGUAGAAGUGACAGCCCCUGCUACAUCUGAAAACUAUACUGAAGUGGUAGCUGCAGUAUCAUCUUUUUGUGAAUAUCUUGCGCCGUAAGUUUUUUUUUCUUUUCCCUUUUUAUUUAUUUAUAGAAAAGCAUUAAAGCCCACCUACCUACACAUGCUUGUUGAUCUAUGCCUCAUGGCGAGGGGUCCCAGUGGUCCAAGCUUGAAAACCGAACAGACUAGUCCAUUCCACGCUUGAAAACCUAACAGACUAGUCCAUUUUUGUCUUGCAUAUCUAGUGGCUGGAUACCCUCUAUCAUCUUUUUCAUAAACAAGUCUUUAUUGGGUGAUCAGCGACGGUCCAAAGGGUCCCAAUUGAAUAUUUCUUGCACCGUUGUUGAUCAUAUUAUAAAUGAUGAGGCAUUCAAUAGUGCAUAUAGGAAAACUGUUUUUAAGGUUUAUGAUGACUUUAUAUUGAAAAUUUGUUUAUUCGACAACGUAUUCAUUCACCUGGAAUUGAUUUCUCAGGCUCCUGCAUUUGUCAAAACCGGGCAUUUCAACUGGGGUUGUUCCUACUGCUGCUGCGGCUGCUGCAUCUCUCAUGUCAGAUGGUGGGGGUACGACCUUAUAGCAGAAGUUGUAAAUUGCUUUAAGUAUCUCAUGUCAAUGUUGAAUGAUAUACAUGUAUCAUCUACAGCAAUCAGAACUGCUUGUCAAACUUCAUGUUAAUUCCCCAAAGUAGUUUUUCCAUAACUUGGAACUUUAGAUAGUUGUGUUGGUGACAGUUCCGCACAUGUAGUCGUGAUUGUCAAUGACAAUUACAGCUCUCUCUUUUCCCCAGGCAAUCUAUUCAAUACUAAAUGAAACAUUUAGCAUUUGCUAGUUAAAAGAUCAAAUGCUAAACUAGCCUGUGAAAAACGGCUAAGUUAGCCCUAGAUCAUUAGGAGUGUUGGCAUCGAGUAGGCGCUGCAGGAACGGUCGACUAAACCCUUCUUGUAAUGAUGCUAAAAAACUAAUUAUCUUUCAUAAAUGAAACCCAGUUAGUGAUAUUGUAUAUGCAGGCCUCCACUUUGUUGCCACUGACUUAUUAGCACUUUCUACAUUUCCACUCCAAACCACUUCGUCCAGAUCCCAUUGCAUUGCAUUAUUGCACUGCUUUUUAUUCGUCUUUUUUGUUUUUUUCUAGGUGAAGAGUUGAGUUCCUAGAGUAGCAUCCUAGAGUUCCAAUAAAGCCUAGAAUAAAGGAGGUAAAACAUAUUUACACAGAUCAUACACACUGAUUAUCAGAACAAUAAAUAAGUGCAGUCUUAAACUUGUUUCAAUAUGUUUGAUUUAUUCUGCUUGAAAGAAAGAUCCCUGUCUUUGUUAGUUGCCACUUGUAGCCACAUUUCCAUGCAUUGUUUGGACAUAAAAAAGUCUCGUUGAACAUGAUUAAUUGUCAUGACAUAAGAAACGUCUUUAACGUGAUUGCAUGACAUAAGAAACGUCGAGUGGUGUACAACAAUGGGAUGGGAUUAGGUGGUGAAAUUUAUCUAUUUGAAUUGAGAAAAAAAGGGAGGAAGAAACCUAAUCAACCUUGAUUUUCUAUGUUGCUUUGACAACCAUGACCAACUAUUUAACUACAAGAAUCAGGUUGAGUUAGUGUCGCUGUUGAACGGAAAAUUUUCACAAAAGCAAUUAGCCAAGAAUUUGACUUGGGUUAGAAUUGAAUUUGUUUUGUCCCUGCAAUCUUAUCAAGAAAAACAUAUAAAAAUAAAAUAGAUGUAUUUCAGUGGUUUUGAAACAUCAAGAGAUAAGCAUCUCGGUUGAGAAGUGGUCAUCAGCUUGAAUUCAAACUCAUCAUAAGAUAGCCUCUAUAAGAGGCAUAACACGAGGGGAGGUUGCAGGGACAAAAAAUAAAAGGGGAGGCUCCAGAAAAAAAAAAAAAAAAGAAAAGCCUGUAAGGCCGCAAGUCUUGGGGAGAGUUGCAGGAAUGAAGAGGAAGAGCAAGCACAUAAGAGGAUUCUUGGCUCUCUAUGGCAAGGCUUCGCUCAAAGACUUCCAAGGAUGCAUCCAGUACGAUCAACCCAUGGGGGUUCUUGGCUAUGAUGAUUGAAAUCAUCACGUAUUAAGUCAAGAAACUACUCUAAGGUGUACCUCUUCUCAAGUACCUCCAGGACAGCCAGCUAUGGACUGACAGCCAAGAUGAUUUCAAUCAGCAUAUAUUCUAUUCCAACAGGCAGCUCUAAUCAAAUGCUUUCAAAGAUGUGUCCAACCUCCAAUUCAACAUCAAUUCGUGUGGGCUGAUUGUGAUGGUGGGCAAAUCACCAAAAAAAAAAAAAAUCAGAACUGGUGCACAACUCUCUUGAAAAGGGGCAUAGAGGAAAUCCUAGAGUUCUCUAGGUUUCCCUUAUUGUGGCGCCACAAAAGCCAAAGCUCGUUCAAUGAUGUUCAUCAUGAGAUGGACAAACAGCAAAAAAAUAAAUCAAACUGAAAGAAUCAAAGGCAACAAGACAGUGAGAUUUCUCUCAGAGAUGCUUUGAGCAUCCAAACCCACAAAACAAAUCUUGGAUACAAAAUCCAUCAUGGGUGUGUAACCCUCAAUCAAACACUCUGUGACCGAUCCAAUCUGGGUACAAAACCCACAAACAAAACCAUGGGGUCUGGUGCAUACAGAGGCGAUGAACUGAAAAAAGGGAAGCUGAAGACAGUCACGCUUUUCUUUGGCAGCUUGGUGUUGUUGCAUACAGCAAGAACAAACAAAGACAACGAAGAAAAGGGGCAGCCAGCAGGCUGUGGAGAGACACCAAGAAAAAUAAAUAAAGCCAUGAGGCUUGGACAAACAUGGAGAAGGCACCACAGUGCUGAAGAAAAAGUGCACGGCAGUGAUGAGGGCAUAGCCUUGAGGAGGGAGGCAGUCAUGAGGCAGUUAAAAAAAGGGCUGCUGAAACAGAGCAAACCAAAUGCUCCACCAUUUUGGCACGCUCUAAUUGCAACCACAGAAAAUAUCUAUUUGCUGGCAGAGUAAAAAUAAUAAAUCAAGGCUGGGGUGUUCAACCCACCGUCAAAAACAGCCAACUAAGGAUCUUCAUCAUAAUCCAAAAUGAGCAAUGUUUGUGUGUAUCACAUGCUUUGAUCUUAGAUUGCCCCUCCAGCAAACAAGAGAGAUCACCCCUUCUUUUCGUGAGUGUCAGCCAAAAAGAAGAAAAAAACAGCUCAUGAAUUGUUAAAGGGCUCCAAGACAUGAGACGUGUCGACUCGUUGAUGUUUAAGAGGUCAACAAUUGGGUCUCUACCAACAAAUUGGUCAGCAAAUUCAGUGACAAUAAAGCUGCACCAAAGCAAAAAGAAAGAAAACAAAAGGAAGGAAAUAAUAUUGUUGUGGAGGAGAUGCCACCACGUGAAAGACCAAAACAAGAAAGCAGCAAUAUUGUUUUGUUCUCAUUUUGCAUGCAAGAAAUAAACAAGAGGGUGGAGUCUUAGAACUUCACGGCUCCAUAUUUACUCAAGACAAGUUCGAGACAAGUUCACGGCUUCACGGCUCAAAGCUUCACAGGCCUACUUACUCAAGACAGGUUCGGGAAAGCAAAACACUAAGGCUUCACUCCUGUAAGGACCUCCAUAAGUCCGUUUGCGAUAGGGUAGUUCCGCUCAAAUUCAAAGCUGAGUCAAUCAGGUACUGCUAAAUCAAUUGAGGUGGGCUUCAUGGGUUUGUUGUACAAAGUCACAAAGGUUAUGCAACAAGUCUAAGAGCCCAAAACACAAAUCUCAAGUCCGCAAAUGAUGGAUUAUGGGCUUAAAUUCCAAAAAUGCCCAUUAACUCUCAAAUCGUCAAGUGAAGACUCAAGUGGCACAAAACCACACCAGAUGUCAAGGGGCACAAAACCACUUCAAAAGCCACAUUAAGAAAUGUGGGAAUCAACCAUUGUUGCAAGGAAGCUGUUCAGAAAAGAGUGCCAAGUGACUCAACCAUGCUGUGACUAUGACUCUAGUCCAAAUAAAUUAUUGGUCAUGCGCGGAGCAUUAAGCUCAACUCCCAAAAGAUUUUAAAGGAGCAUCAAUAUGGAUUAAUGGGUUUUGUUGAUCAAAAAAGCCCAUUAAUCUCAAAUCCUCCAAAUCAUGCAUGGAUACAAACGCAUGUGUCAAUGAUCAAAUUAAAUUGGUGGGUUCAUCAAAAUUGCCCAUUAGUUUUCUUUGAUAUUGACAAAAAGAAAAAUGGUAUAAAACCAUCCAAUUUUCCCCAUGGGUCAUCUACCCAUGCAAAUUCCAAAUGAGAUUAAAUUCAAAUAUCUCAAACACAAAUUCUUAAUUAGUGGGCCACACUUACCCAUUAAUUUUUAAUUUUUCCCAUAGGUCAUCUACCUAUGGAAAUCUCCAAAUUGUCCCAAAGAUACAAAUUCUCAAUUAGUGGGCCACACUUACCCAUUAAUUUCUAAAAUUUGGAACUACGUCGGUUUGAUCCCGUUAAGGGUACGUAGGCAGUCUAACAUUCCAAUAGACGCAACCGCAAUCAAGUAUAAAUCUCUGGUUUAUCUUAACCAGAUUUCGCCAAAACACUUUCCCAAGUGCAAUUGUCAAUGUUUUAGGGAAAAUUAAUGGGAUAAUCAAAAUUACUCAUUAUUUUUCUUGGACAUUGACAACCAGAAAAGUGGUACAAAACCAUUCAAUUUUUCAUGGGUCAUCUACCCAUACAAAUUUCAUUGAGAUUAAAUUCAAAUCUCUCAAAUUCAAGUUCUCAAUUAGUGGGCUACACUUACCCAUUAAUUUCCAAUAUUUCCCAUGGGUCAUCUACCCAUGCAAAUUUCAUUGAGAUUAAUUCUAAAUCUCUCAAAUACAAAUUCUUAAUUAGUGGGCCACACUUAUCCAUUAAUUUUCAAAAUUUUCCCAUAGGUCAUCUACCUAUGGAAAUCCCCAAACGCAAUUGUCAAUGUUUAGGAAAAAUUAAUGGGAUAAUUAAAAUUACUCAUUAUUUUUCUUGGACAUGGACGACAACGAAAGUGGUACAAAACCAUCCAAUUUUCCAUGGGUCAUCUACCCAUGAAAACUCUAAUGAGAUUAAAGCCAAGUCUCUCAAACAGAAAUUCUCAAUUAGUGGGCCACACUUACCCGUUAACUUCCAAAUUCCGAACUACGUUGGUUUGAUCCCUUUGAAAGGGUACGUAGGCAAUCUAGAGAUUCAAUCUAGAUGCAACCAUCCCAAAUGCAAUCCCAUAUCGAAUCCCUGGUUUAUUCAGCUAAAUUCACUCAAACACUUCUCAAUACAAUUCAAAUCAAAUUUCCCUCGCAAUGAGUCAUUUCUUCAUUGCGAUUCUUUGAACUACGAGUGGCUUGAUUCCCGCAAGGGAUACGUAGGCAUCCUGAGGUUGGACUUAGGAGCAGUUGCAAAAUCAAACACAAACGUUCUGUUUCUUUAUGAUGGAAUCAAAGGGUGUUCUCUUGAAGCAAGGGAUUGUAAUUAAGAGACUUGCGUCUCGAAUGGGUCGAACCUAAAAUAAUAAAACCCCGUUAUUUAAUUAGUGGUGGUGAAAUUAUAUUAGGAGGAUCACAUUUUCCUUCAACAGUCGCUGUCAAAUUCGAUGCAAGUAAAUGACAUGAUACAAACAUAACAUAACUCGGGUCCUACCCCCAAUGUCUUCUGAACAGCUUAUCAAUGCAGGAUGCAUGUUUGAAUUAUGUUUUUAUGUGUGCCGCUUAAAUUAACGGUCAGGAAUUGUCCACACACAAUUAAUUUUAGUAAAAUUAUAUUAUUUUGUUUAUCUCUCACUGUACAUCUCUCUCUCUCUCUCUCUCUCUCUCUCUCUAAAAAGAAGACUAAUUGCAUAGCCACAAUCUACUAAUUACAAGAUUCCCCAGCCACGCUUGUUUACCUGCGAUCAAAGUAGACCUUAUUAUAGUCGUGCCUUGCCAGGAUCAUGAGUUCCCAUAUUUGCUUUGAGUAAUGCCAAUAUGAUAUAUCACAUUAUAAUGUGAAAAAAAAUAUAUUCCAUGACACUUUAGUCCCAAAUAAUGUUCAUAUAAUACAAUGCACAUAAACAUAUAUAAGAUGUGUACGUGUACAAAUAAAUGUACGUAGAUAUGCAUUACAUCACACAUAUCUGUAUGUCGGUAUAUACACAUGCAAAUGCAUGGAAUAAGUAAGAACUAAUAAUGAUCAAAGACAAAGGCAGCAACCACCAAAUCUUUCUCAAUCUGCGAUUUAAACAAAGUGCUGCCAAACAAAGUGUAGAGAUUUUCUGGUUUCAAAACAGAUUUCUAUUUCUUACACUCUUAAUAACUUACAGCAGAAUUUAUAUACACAUGGAAGGCUUGCUAAUCAAGCCUUGUAUUAAUUACAAAAGGUAGCAGGGGACAGCACAAUAGCUUUGUAUUAAUUACAAUAGGUAGCAGGGGCAGCAUAGUAGGUAUUAGGGGGCAGCUUGUGCAGCUGAUGCAAUUAAUCAUAUUUUGGCUUCUUUUGGCUUUUCAACUUCUGGAACUUUGCUCCCUUCUCCUAGAGUCAGCAGCAAUUAAUGCAAUCUCAAUACUCCCCUUCAAGUUGGUGCAAAAAUAUCACGCAUGCCCAACUUAUCAAGUGAGUCAUAGAAAACUCUACUUGAUAUGGCCUUUGUCAGAAUAUUAGCAAAUUGACUUUCUGAGUUUACAAACGGAAACUCAAUCAUACCAUUCUCCAGUUUUUCUUUGAUGAAGUGUCUAUCCACUUCCACAUGUUCGGUAUGAUCGUGUUGUACCAGAUUAUGAGCUAUUUCGAUAGCAGCUUUAUUAUCACAAUAUAGAUUUGUGGCUUUCAACUAUAUAAAUCUAAGAUCUUUUAGUAAUCUCCGUAACCAGCCCCUAAACUCAGCUUCAGCACUCGAUCUAGCCAGAACUCUUUGCUUCUUACUUCUCCAAGUGACUAAGUUGCCACCCACAAAUGUAAAAUAUCCAGAAAUAGAACGUCUACCUGUGAUGGACCUUGCCCAAUCAGUAUCUGUGUAUCCUUCUAGAUCCAUGUGUGUAUGUUUGGAGAACGUCAACCAUUUUUUAGGGGCAGUCUUCAAGUAUCUCAAUAUCCGUAUAACUCAAUUCAUGUGUGUCUCACUUGGUUGAUGCAUGAAUUGGCUUACCACAUUCACAGCAUAAGCUAUGUCGGGCCACGUGUGGGAUAGAUAAAUCAAUCUCCCAACUAAUCUUUGAUACCUUUCUUUAUCAGUUGGAGCUUGGUUUGGAUACAUCCCAAAUUUGUGAUUCUGUUCAAUAGGUGUGUCAGCUGGCUUGCAAUCUAGCAUUCUUGUCUCUGUCAAUAAAUCUAACACAUACUUUCUUUGGGAUAGAAAUAUGCCAUGUUUUGAUCUAGCAACCUCUAUGCCAAGAAAAUAUUGUAACUCACCCAGUUCCUUCAUCUCAAAUUCACUUGCAAGGAGCUUCUGUAGAGUCUGCAUCUCUUCACUGUCAUUACCGGUAACCACCAUAUCAUCUACAUAGAUGAUUAGGGCCGUAAGUUUUUUACCACGAUGCUUUAAGAACAAUGUGUGAUAUGAGUUACUCUAAGUGUACCCAAAGCGCUUCAUGGAAUUAGUAAAUCUCCCAAACCGGACUCGAGGUGACUGCUUUAGCCCAUACAUAGAUUUUUUCAACUUGCAUACGGUAUUGGGACCAAAUGUCAUAGGAAUCUCUGGUGGUGGAUCCAUAUAUACUUCUUUUUAUAAGUCCUCGUGAAGAAAGGCUUUCUUUACAUCAUACUGCAGUAGUGGCCAGUCAAGAUUCGCAGCCAAGAAUAUGAGAACACAUACAGUGUUGAUCUUGGCAACAUGUGCAAAUGUCUCCUGGUAGUCAAUUCCAUAUGUUUGUUUAUAUCCCUUGGCUACUAAUCGAGUUUUGUAUGGGUCUAUGGAUCCAUAAGUUUUGUAUUUAAUGGUGUAUAUCCAUCGAAGGUUAAGCUUGACUUAUUAUCAUAAAUUAUCUUUCUUUCCUUGUCAAAUUAAUUAACCAACUGAUUUGCUUUCUAAAGUGAGUUUGCAAACAACAAAUAAUUACUGGGCCCAAUCGCCAAUCAUGUACAUCUCCCUUUAACUCCAACCAGACUCACACAAAAGCUCCCCAUCAAGCCUGGACAAAUCAAUGGACACUUGUUGAAUUCAGACUGAAUAAUCUCCUCUUAAGUUUCCCCAACACUUCCUCUUCUGAUCAGGCACCAUUAGGUUUUCCUACUCCAAUCAAAACUUCUUAUUAUUGUAAAUGUAGGAUAAGUUUUUUGUUUAUGUUUUUACCUUCAAUGAAAUCGAAAUAGUUCACUUUAUUUUUAUGCUACGUACUACAUUGGGUUGAAAUCAAAUCAUCUUUUACAGACCAAACCAAAGUUUUUAUUGAUUAAUUAGAAGGAUUUCGGUUGUGAAAUCAAAAUCGAUGCAGUUGGCCCUCAAAAGGUUUCAAUCUCAUUCUUUUACUUCAGAAUUGAAUCCCUUUCGAGCCAACCAAAUGGGCUUAAUCCUUCAAGUUGAAGAUAUGUAAGACAUGCAUGCGCUUGAAUAGAAACCUCUCAAGCCCAUCAAGCUUCUGUGGAGCUUCAACAAGACUCAAUUUUUAAGUGUAAAAAAAUGAAGAAAUGGGCAUUACGUGGCAUUCCCCAUGCAAAUAACAGCUAAGCCCCGAAUUGAAAGAGAAAGUAAACAUACAGUGCAUUUAUAACAACAGCUGGGUUAGCAUUGAAAGCAUUUUCUAACUACUUCUGCCCUUAAUUUGAAGCAAAUCCUUGGACUGAGAGAGAGAGAGAGAGUAUUGUGUGGCUGGCUUGGUGGCACCACCACCUAUUCAUGCCCAUUUCCUCCUUCCCCACACUAGUAAUCUCUCACCCAUCUUCAUCCCCCACUUUAACUUUGUCAUUUUCAUCAAGCCACCCCAUGGCAAACGAUGCCGUUUUCAGGGCCUCUCUAGUUUGGUUGGCUGCAGUCAUAGUGGUAGUUGGAGUAUUCACACAGUCUUUCAAGAAGAUGAUGUUAACGUACGUGGUUGGUGUGCUGGGUAUUUCUGGGUUGCUCUUGCCCGAUUGGGGUUACUUUGACCGAGACUUUUCGAGGUGGACGUCUCCGGUUUCAGCCGAGGAAAGAGCCUCUGAAGUUGCUCAAAGAUCUGGGUUAAUUAGAAGGUCAGUUUUAUUUUUAUUUUUUGGGACAUGUGAGAUUUACUGGUUUUUCAAUUGAAUGUUGUGAUUUUGUUGUGGAAGAAUAUUAGUGAACAAUUGAUUGAUGUUUAUGUGUUUAGCUUAGGGUCAUCAUUAAGUGAUAAAACAUCAACAAACAAAAUUAGGGAUCGUUAUUUGACCCAUCGACUUAAGGUCUGUUGGACUAGAUCGGCCCAAAAUUUCGGCCGGCCUGAUCAUAUUUUACUAUAUUUCACAGCAAUAUAGUAAUUAACAUUUUUUUUGUUCUCACUUCUAUACGAUAACUUCUUUCUACACGAAUACAAUCUAAGUAUAUUUUAUGUAUGUAUGGUACAUCACACGUAUAUAUAUAGAGGGUUCUUUAAAUAAGUUUAUGUGAGCGACACUCUUAUAGAGUCCACCACAUUGUAUUUCAAUUAUCCAAAUUGUGUUUGCCUAUUUUAUUGAUCACAAGUGUAUUCAUGGACUAAAUUUAGGUAGUCCGGAGUGUUUGACUUAUAACCUAAGAGACAAUUCUCCGUUUUGCAGAUUUAGAAAAAAUCCUAUGAGAUCGGUUGCUUGUGCCACAGUUUAUGGGUUUGCUCUACGGAAGUGGUGGAUGUUCAUAUCAAGCUAAUGUCAAGCCAGAGAAGAUCAAUGGUGUUGGGGUACUUUCUAGUUUAUCGGUAUGUAAAUUAUGAAUGAUGACAGUUGCCAUUGCAAUAUUACUUUGGGUUCCAUAUAUAUAAGAUUUCCAAAUCCAAUUUACUUAUAAGAUAUAGCUCCAAUUUCCUCUUGGUUUGUAACAUGCUUAAUUUGGCUUAAAUUUGUGUUGAAAUUAAGGCAUGUUACGAAGACUACAUUUUUAUACCACAUGAUGUAGAAAGCGAUGUUUAUUUUCACAAUAGGAAGUAAAACUUGAAAAUAAAACAAGAACAAAAAGAAGAAAAAAGACUUUUAAUUAGUUGCAUGGUGCAACAAUUUUUAGUGAGGACUGGGUGAAUGAAUUGCUUGCAGAUAUGAUUGAGUAGAGAGACAGUGUGAAGAAAGGAAGAAGAGGUGACCUGACAGUAAUUAUAAGCACAAGAAGCGCAAAUGUUAUGGUCUAAUUUUUCAAGUUGUAUUUUAGUUUCUGUAAUCAUUCAUCAAUUAAUUGUUGUUUACAAAACCAAAAUCUAAAUAUUACAGUUCACAUUCCAACCCACAAAAUGUGGUAUAUAUAUGUUGUUUUUACCAUCGGCCACAGAUCGUUUCGUUUCUUUUAAUUUCUUUUGUCGAUGCUACAAGUUGAAGCAGGCAUGUGAAUGUGGCGAAGGCAAAGUAAUUUCAAAGUGAGGUGGGUUCGACAAAAGUAAAUUUAUUUUAACUUUCGGGGAUUAAAGUGUAAAAUAAACCGUGAUUAAAUAAAGAUAUCACCAAAGUUCCAUUCUUCUGGCUUGAUAAUCUUUGUUCAAAAUCUGAAAGACAACAACAAAUUGACCAAUGGACUAGGAUCCAACGCGGGUUAUCUGGAUUUCCAAGACACGUGUUGAUUUUGAACCUGACUUAGAUGAUACCGGUUUGAGGUUGAAUGUGCAGACAUCUCCAUUUUUGAGCUUGUUGGCUUCAUAAAACUUGUACCAUCCUUUUCUAGUAGCUAUACGAUGACUACCCCUGGUUUUGCUUUCCCACUUUACUUAUGAUCAGCGGCCAUGAUCUUUCAGACGGGUCUUUGAGAAUGAUUCUGGAUGUGGCCACAAUGCCAUUUGAUCUUGCAAAUUUUGCAGGAAAAGUCUGUCAUAAAACAACUACCAAAUUUAGAGAAAAUCAAAAAAUGAAAAAAGUUGUAAGGAUUGCAACUCAACCCUGAACAAACAGACCAAUUUCACAACUCUGCCAAGGGCUUUGCCACCAAAACUCCAGACUCAAGAAGUGUGCUUGAAGUGAACAUCAUGAAAUUUUUUAUCUUCAAUAAUAUGCAAAUAAUAACAUGACACACUUCAUACAGGCAAAGAGAAGUUAGAAAACUUACCAUAUAAGCAUGAAGAGGAUCCCCAUGGGUUUUACUCAUCGUGGUACUGAACAAAGUCCUUGAGCUUGAGGAUGCAGUUCCUUUUAAGGUUCUUUUUCCUGAAAAUAGUCCAAGGAACAACCCACAUUAGAUGCAACCCAACAUUCAUUAUAAUUAAGAGGGUGCAAUCCUAUCAAAAGUAAAAAUAUUGAGUGUAACCUGAUGUAAAUCUUGUGGGAAAUGAAGGCGAAUGAAAAUUAAUAUGCCACUGCCAUUCUUGUGUGAAAUGCAAGAGAAUUUUAAAUUUAACGCACCUUUGUAAUCAUGCUGGUGCUUGUCGCUCUGCAGUUCAUACUCUUUCUCACUACCAAGACUCAUAGGCAACCACAGUGAACACCAUUUUGCCUUUGUGUUCAAAUACUACCAUUUCUCCAAUGUUCAGGCCGUGAUGGUUCACAAAAACUUCCCAACCUUCUUCGAAAGAAAGUACUCCAUCAACACUCCUGCCAAGUCUCACACACCAAGAUCCCAAGCAGCUUUUAAUAACUGCUUUAUCCAGUUUCUUUUCACUCAGAGAACUACUGAAAGCUACUGGAAGUGACUGUUCAUAUGUAGAACAAAAAUAUUGGGUCACAAUCCUAAUCACAAUCCUAAUCCCAACUGAAGACAAAUUCAUAGUUGAACUCAAUUAUGUAUUUUCAAUCAAAACAUUAAAAUCUGUGUCAAACCAACUAGAACAAAAUUUAUGUAAGCAAUAAAUUAAGCUGCAAAUCAAUAUACAUCAGAAAUCAGAAACUGCGUAAUCAGCAGUAUGCAUUAUUGAUAAGUCAACACGAGAAGACUAGGAACAUUUAAUGGAACAGCUGCAAAUUAACCUUUUCCUCCCACUGAUUGAUUGAAUCAAAAGUCUCAUAGAUGACAAUUUGAGAUACCAAUCUUUUGAACACUCCCACUGACAAAACUUUUAGUUGGAGAUUGUGUGCCAAUAUGUUCAACAUCAAUAUUGUCUGCAUAGCGGAAGUAACUAUAGUAGUUUGUUUUGCACUUUUUCGAAUACAAUCUGCCAAAAAAUAUGUUUGAAACCAAAAACAUAACAACAUAUUAAUAACUGGAUGCAUCUGUAUUCAACUUUCAACUUAAACACCAACUUAAUUUCCUAGACCAAUAUUCAUACUUUGUAAAACAAAAUCAGUAGCUAAGAAACUAAAUAGCCUGCCAUCAAAACAAAUUAUCGAAAUUUCGUUGGAAACAAAAGGAGAAGCAUAAAAAGAAUAAUAAGACCAUGAGUGUGUAAAAUUUCUCUUACAUCACUUGUCCCACUUGGGCAAACACUCACUUCUUUGCUACUUCAAAAGAGUACGCCAAAGUACUUAUGCUGGUCACAUAACUUGUAAACAUAAUAGCUGGUAAACCAUAGAUGUAGUUCAUAGUAAAAACCAUAGAUGCACAAAAAACAACCACAAAACUACCAAAGCAAGUUUCCAGCAAUGAAGUUUACUUACUUGAAAGUUACUAUAAUUAAUUUAUAAGUCCGAUUAACACAACUUUACAUAGAAUCAAACUAGGGACAGUAAUCUUUAUAAAACAAAAAUGUGGAGUCGUUUUAUCUCCAAUUUAUAGUCCAAAGUUGCUCAUAAAAUAUGCCAGCACAUACACAAUCACAUGACCAAGGAAAAAGCAGCAAGAUUUAGGGUUUUUUAAAAUAUUUAAUUAUUUAUUACCCUAUUACCAAGACAGAAAAAUGAACCUAGAUUUGUCAAGAGAAAGCAUAUGUAAACAACAUAUGAAGUUGAACAACAUAAACCUCAAAAACAACAUAAACGUGAAAACCCACAUAUAUAUAUAUUAAACAGAGAGCGAAGAGAAGAGAAUCAUACAAGUCGUUUGUUGAACCCAGGAACCAAAAACUUGAAAAACACGGAGCAUUUCCCAGCCAUGAAUCCUGAUGAGAUGAGUGAAUAAGAAAAAUAAAUGUAAAGACAGAGAGGAAAGUUGAAACUAUGAAUGGACUGACGUUUCUGUGGCUUGUAUUCUCACAAAAAAAAUUCUUGGGUUUAGCCUUACCAGUAUAUAUAGCCUGAAAGGGCCAAUCGCUUCUCUCCAACGCAGCAUUGGCUUACAGAGAAGUGAUGGACGCUCCAUGAAUGGCAUUGGCCGGAGCUUGUCCUUUGAGUACAGAAUGCAUGCGGGUCGGAAAAGCCUGAAGCUUUUGCAGCAGCCGUCUGUGCCUGUGACUGUCUCUGUGCUACUAACGCGUCCAGAUUGCCAAAAUGAGCGUGCUAUGCCUUUAAUUGACUGAUUCUGAUUGCCAGCAAAAUGGGCCUGCAAUGCCUUUAAUUGACUGAUUGCCAAAAUGAGAAAAAGGCCCAUUAACUCUUAGCAUUUCACCUACAGAAAGUUGGGCUGAAUUGCACCCCUUUCGGCUUUUUUAUAUUAUAUUUUAAUUUUUUAUAUAAAAAAUUUCUUUUAUUGAUUUAACUUGUGCUUUUUCAGGUGUAUUUAUACGGGUUUAGGCUUUUGGACAGGUGAGAAUUUAAUUUAAACCAUAUAAUUCACUCACUCCACACACUAUGCCCUCUUUUAUAUCGUUGAUAAAAGAAUAAUGCUACUCUUACCACAUUUUUAUAUCAUAUUUUUAUAUCAUUUGAUGUGGCAGUUGAGGUAGACAGCCACAUCAAUUAAAAUUAUUUAAUAUUUUUUUUCUUUUAUGAUUUAUUUCAAUAUUUGUUUUUCUAAUUGCCUUAAUUAAAAUACACUUCAUCAAUUUAAUUGAUGUGACAUAUAAUAUGAACAUGUCACAUCAUGUGGUAUAGAAAUGUGGGAUAAAAAUGUGGUAAGUGUAGCAUUACUCUUGAUAAAAAAAUGCCCUCUUUUAUAUCAAAUGGAUCAUGACCACUACCUUACAUUCCACGAAAUUGUGCACUAUAAAUAGGAGCUAAUAAAAAGAUAUAUGUGAUAUAAAUAAGGAAGAAGAACUUACAUGUAAUGGGAUGUUAUUAUGGCGGUAUUCCAAACCUAUCACGCAUUACUAUGUCAAAAAAUAACAUUAUUAAUGUUAUGUCAGAAACUUAAAACACAUGGCAAUAGAUGAUUGACUAGAAAUAACCGUAACAGUAAUAUCUCCUAUAUAGGUAAGUUUUUCUUAAGGAGAAGGAGGAAUUGAAUACAUAACCUCAUUGCUCUGGCAUAGCAAUAUUUAUUACUUUUUAGUUAUAAUACAUAAACUUUCUCAAAUUUUGUCAAUCUCAGUGUUGGCCUUGGACAGAAGCAGUCAAUGCGACUUCCUUGGGCACGGUCCAAGAGGGCACAAAAUAUUUAUUUAUUUAUUUUUAUAAAGAAUUUCCACUUGGUCUUUUAAUAGUUUUUAUUUAUUUAUAUAUUAUGUUGUUCUAAUAAAAACGCUUAUAAUAAAUGCUCUUAUGAACAUAUGUACAUUUUGUACAACCAGUCUCAAACUGACCCUACGUACACAUGCUACUAUGUACAAAUAUGUACAUUAACAAUUUAACAUCUUGUCUGAAGUUUCAAAACCUAGUAGAGCAAAAAGGUGUAAAAAUUCAUAGGUCAUUAGCAUUGCAUGUUCAUAUAUGAUUUAAGAGUAAUGCUAUAGCCAUUGUUCUUUGGUGAACAACUUGCAAAUGUUAAGCCUAGGUAUACCUAGAAAAGAUCCUCUAAAGGGUGAAAGGAAAGAAGAAGAAAAAAGGUCAAAGGCUUAAAGAGUUCAGCUUUUCAAUCAUGUCAUGAACAUGAAGGAAAGCCUCACUGGUAUUACUGAGAAAAGGGUCUUCUUCUGCUGAGGAAAGAGUGUCAUAGAGAAAGAGAAGGGCAAAGCUCUUUUUCUGCAGAAAUGUGCAAAUUAGGGUUGUGCAAAUAAGAGCUGAGGGACUCCACCACAGUGGAGACUGAGAGUGGAGGGCAGCUUUAAAUAGCCAUUGAUUGGUGCAGACAAAGGAGGGUCACCCAAAAAUAUUAUGAGAGAGAGAAGAGAGAGGGGGUAGAUAGAUGGAAAUCCAGCUCAUUGUUGUCAAAGAAUGAUAGGAGCCCACGUGGAGAGGACUGGCAAAGUGCCAGUUCACGGACUUGUACAGUUUUGUAUCAUAAAAACUAUAGAGAGAGAGAGGUGCUCAACUCAUAGCUGUCUCCUCCUCGUCCCUAACGCUGGCAACAAGCUAGAUUAUCAAUCCUCCUCUCUGCUGCUCUCUCUGCUCAUGGGCCUCACCAUCAAAAGUCAUUGAGAGUUAUAUGAAUACAAUACAUACUUAAUUAGGGAAAUGCAUGUUCUCCCGCAUAUACUACUGACAAGGGAACAGUUGGAUUGUAAUAUGGAUAGUUGAUGAGGUUGAUUCUUUUAAAACAUGUGGGUUAGAUUCACAAUAUAACAAUAUAAAUAUAUUUUUUUUGGUAACAUGAAAAUAAGUCCGGCGAAAUAAUAUUACACUAUAUAGUUAUGUUCGAUAGUAAACAUUUUCUUAUCAACAUGUUAUAACAUAAUAUACCUAUGUUGUUAGAUUAAGAUUCUAAACCAUUUGAUAAUGUUUGGUUUUGCUUGAAUAUGUAGCCAUGUUUAUGGUUUGGUAACAUAAGUAUGGCAGUGAUAGUAUUACCCUACAUAGUUAUAUAAAAUCAUAAAUGUUAUCUUAAUAUAAGGCUUGUCAACACAAACAUAUAUAAGAUACUUAAAUUAUCAUACUAUAUAUUAUUACGAACAAUUGAUAAGUUUAGUGUGUACGGCUCAUAUUACAAAUAUAGGCAAAAUAGUUAACUGUGUGACAAUAUAAAUCUGACAAGAGAACAUUACUCGAUAUAUACUCAUUCAAUUUCAAGUUUUAAAACAUGACAAGAAGAACAUGUGAUCCUUCAAAAGAGACUUUAUGGCUCGCAUGGUCAUUAGCUUGUGGACAAGAUAAUGGUCUUCCAUUAACAUAUAAUAAUUCAAUUAAGAGCACGAACCCUUUUAGUUAAUUAAUGAUUAUUGACCAAGCAUUGGGAAUGAUUCGAUACAGAUGGUCAUAUAAAAUUAAACAACAAUGUACCAUGAUUUUGAUUUUCCUUGGCUGCCGCCCAAAGCUUGCAAUGCACAUGAUUUUUUAUCUGAAAGACUGAAACCAUUGGUUUAUGUAAUCCUAACUACUGUUUUCUUUCACUUAUUUUUCUUGUUUGGAAGUUGGCUUUGUAAACAGCUUAUGAUUAGACAGUUAGGAACAUGGGGUCAUGUGGGAAUAUUUGAUUAGCAUUUGGAAGCAGUUGAGUCAUAAAAAAAGAUUAAAUCUUAAUCUAAUAAAUUAAGCUAAAAUUAGCUGUUCUUUUGACCAUAACCAGCUAAUGUAACAUGAGGCAGAACAACAAGUGCAGAAAUUAUAAUAAUAACAUUGGUGAUCUUUUGGGCAAACCAAUUGUCAAUUCACAUACCAUGAAUUGUCGUCCAUUGCAGCCACAAAUCAAAACACAUUAAACAAAUUCAAAGAACUAAUUAAACCCACUGGUUAGUGCUCAGCAGCAUUACAAGAGCAACCAACUUUUCUUUAUUUAGUUAAGAGAACUGUUAGAGAUACUAAAUUUGUUCCUUAACUUUUAUUCACCAAAUAAUACGGCAGGGUUUGAUUAAUUUAAAUCUGUAUGUACUUUCAAUUUUAUUUAUAAUUAAUAAGUAAGAUAUAUUAAUAUGUAUUUGUUGAAGAAUAUAAAAUCUCACAUCGAAAACUUGACUAAAUAAAUUAGAACUUAUAAUAAGUGGUUCCACUCCUAAUAACACCGAAGUUUUUUGUGGUAAAACUCUACACCUACUGAGUUUUGUAAGUGAUUAAAUUGGGGACAAUAUCGGUUUUGCUAAUAGUGGGCCGCUGAUCCGUCUCUUUGAAAUUUAACAUGGUAUCAGAGAAGGGCUCCAACCCAAACCGGUUACAUCUUGAUUGGAUGUGGCCACCGAUCUGAUUGACCAACCACACCUUGAUAGGUGUUGCCAUCAACCCAAUCGACUCUGACUCAGAAUAUGACUUAUGAAUCACACAAAUACGGAUGAUUAAUUUCGAUGUGAACUUGGUUCCACGUAUGACCCAUUAUUUAGUGAAUAAAUUUAGUUGUGUUAUUGUUAUAUCUAAUUAUCCAAAAUCAAUCACAUCCACUGAAUCAUUUUUCGAUAGAAAGGGCAACUCGGUGAUGAUCGAAUGGUCCAUCUUACUGGCCUAGUUAGCAGACCCACAAUGAGUACAAAUGUUGGGGCAUCUCUGAUACCCACACCUACACACACACUGUAUUAAUUGUGUAAACAAAACAACUAACUAAUUACAGAUCAUACCAUAUUAUGCUUUUUGGGUCUACAUUAAUACAACUUUCUUUGGGACAAAUAAUUAAGAUUAAAAACUAAAAAAAAGAACACCAGGGUGGCGAAGAUCAAAAUAUUUUUUAUUUGUUACAUGUGGUAUUACAAAUUCAUCGAAAUUAUGAUAUAUUGUGAUGAAUAAUUAUCACUCUAAGGUAUAAUACUAAUAAAAUAAAUAUACACAGUGUUAUAAUAUAAGUGAUAAUAUAAUAUGUGAUGGUGUUACGAGGAUACAGAUAAAACAAGCGAAUUAGAGAGAGGAUUGGAAUGGUGGGAUUAAAAUUUGAUUGGAGGGUGGGAGGGUAUAUUAAUGCAGAGACAGGGAGGACACACUUGAAGUGCAUUAGUCACACAGAGCUGUCAUUCGCUAUUACGAAGCCACCCUCCUCCCCUCUCCUAAUUCAUAGCCAGCAAAUCAGGGUUUGCAGCUGUCGGGUGCUUUAUCUCUCUCUCUCUCUCUCUCUCUCUCUCUCUCUCUCUCUCUCUCUCCCUCUCUCCCCCCCUCACUCAAUCAACCAAACCAACUCCUCUGUUUCAAACUACUCAUCAAAUAUUUGACAGCAAUACCAACAGCAACAGCAACAUUUUAAACUAAUGCAAUAACCCUUUUCAAAUUUCUGUGUAUUCAAUGAUUUUCUCUCUGUAAAAAAAAAAGAAAAAAAAAAGAGAGAGAUGGAAUAAUAAUUAUGGAGAUGGAGGAGCAUAUAGACAUGGAGCAAGCAAAGAAGAUCAACAACAACAACAACAUGAGGUGGAAGAAAUUAAGAGGCCUCUGCUUAGCCAAUAUUUCUUCUCUGUGAUCAACAACUGCGUUUGUGUAUGAGUUCAUGUGGCAAAAACCAAGAAACCAGUUUGUGAUUUUGAUGAUUUAGAUGCCAUGGCUUAUCCACAUUACCGAUCACAGUUUGGGGACACAACGUUUACGAAAGUGUUUGUUGGAGGGCUCGCUUGGGAGACACCAACUGAUGAAAUGCGUAGAUACUUUCAGCAGUUUGGGGAGAUUCUUGAGGCUGUCAUUAUUGCUGAUAAGAACACUGGAAAAUCUAAAGGCUAUGGAUUUGUAAGUCUUUGAUAUUUUAAUCAAAGAUCGAUGGGUUAUUUUUAUUUUGUCUUCUGGUUUGGCUUACUCUUGUGUUCUAAUUUUAUGACUAGGUGACAUUUCGUGAUUCGGAAUCGGCAAGGAGGGCUUGUGCAAAUCCAAACCCUGUGAUCGAUGGAAGAAGAGCAAAUUGUAACAUUGCUUCGUUAGGACGUCCUCGGCCUUCACCCCCGAGAGGUACAUUACAUAUUUCAACCCGCAUUUGAGGUCCUGCAUUCGAUUCUCCCCUCUCUCUCGUAUCGUUGUAUAACUUUGCUAAAACUGUGCAUUUUCAUGGUUUAUACAGGAAGAAAUCAAGCCUCCGGUCCAUACCAGGGAAGUGCACCACAGGCUGCACAAUCGUAUGGCGGAGCGCCGCCAUUGCCACCACCGCUGCCGCCACCAGCCCCUAUUAUAUAUCCACCUUACAGGUAAGAAAUGUUGCAUUAUUAUUAUUUUUAUAACAAUUAAAGCUUUUUUUUUUUGGAGGGUUAAAGAGAAAUGGUCCAUGCAUAUGCAAUGAAUUAAAUAAGUGUCGUUUUUUAUGCUACAUAUAAAUAAAUAUUUCCUCGGUACAGUUGGUAUCAACCUGUAAAUAGCAAAUAUAAAUCAUGUAAAUUGACCUUCGUAGAGAAGGUGGGGUGCCAUGUUCUCUUGAUGUACAUAUAUUAUGAUACAUUGAUGGAUAUAUUGACCAAAAUCAUCUAUAAAAUACAGCAUUAAUAUUAUAUUAUUAAUUGCUGAAAAAUGUAAUUGUUUUAAGGAAAUUAUAAAGAUUAAUGGAGCUACAUUUGGUAGAUGAAGACGUGAAUAGAUUACAGUGAUAUUACUUAAAAAGAAACAAAUGGUCAAUCUUUGUCUUCAUCGGUCAACUCUAGGGUGGUGCUUCCUAAGUCUUUUGUGUUUUCCAACUUUGUUCCCCUUUUUACAAGUUCUACCCUAAAACCAAUCACUCAUACAUCUCAUUAAGUCAAAGUUAACUUAAUCUCUGUUAAUAUGAUCAGUGCGAAACACUUUAAGAAGCAAAUUAUUAUUAUUAUUUUGUUAUAAUAGAAGCGAUAUUGGAUAUUGGGGAGGGAGAAUCAAAUCUUAGACCUCUCGAAUACAAGGAUAAAUAUUCUCAAUCACUUAAACUAUAAGCCCUUUGUCUUCCAGAAUGAAAUCAUAGAAAGAAAAAAACUUCUCACCUAUAGAAUGAAUUUAUUUUGUUGGAAAUAAAUCUUCAGCUAUCAAGUUAUUUUCUGCCAUCGUUACCCGGCAAUCUCAUUUAAUAUUGAUUUGCAGCUACCCAACGUACACUCCUGCAGAUUAUGGGUACCAUCAAGUUAGUCUCUCUCUCUCUCUCUCUUGCAUAUACAAUAAUUGAAACAUAUGCAACAAUUGGUUCACAAUAUUAAUGAAUGGUUGAUGUAUUGCAGCAGGCAAUGUACAACCAACAAGUUCAACAGCAGCCCCAGUACUACUCUCAUCAAGUUUAUGGAUCAUCACCAUCUUCUCCCAUGGGCACUCCAUAUUAUUAUCAUGGCUAUUCUUUUCAAUCUCCAAGGGCAACGUUUUCUUCACCCCCGGCGCAUCGUAUGCCUGCUCCUUCCUAUCUCUACUAUCCUACGCAGAUGGAACCCUCCUCCUCCUAUCCAAAUCCUGCUCCUCCACUCCUACAACAACCCCCCACCUCAAGGCAACAUCCUCCCAAUUUUACCUCUCCUUCACCUGGUAAUUAACUACUUUAAUCAAUUCAUUAAUUUCUCUACUUUUUUUUUUAUCACUGUUUUAUUUUAUUUUAUUUGGUAUUUAGUAGUUAUAUGUGAAGUAUAUAUAGUUUAAAAUUCAAUGGAAAAUAAUUAUUAAAACUUUGUAGCUAGGUAGUAGUUCCACAUGAUAUAUAUAUAUAUAUGUGUGUUUUUUUUUGGGGGGGUUCCCUAGGGAUUUGUCUAACAUGGACCUAGUGGGGCUACAAGGGCAAGGCCAACCCAUGUGAGUGAGCUGUCUGCAUGGUUUGUGUGAUGACCCAAAGGGUCAAAUGGGAAGUCAUGACAGAGAAGCAGAAGCAGAAUUUGUGUAAAUUAACAGUGCUGCAUGUGGCUUCAACCUCAGCAGUCAAAAUCAUGCUUCAUUCUCGAGAGAUAUUUGUAGUCAAGUGGUCGUUUGGAGGAUUAACACUUGUGUGGAACGGGUAGCUUGGGGCAUAGCCAUAAUUCAAUGUUUGAGGGUCAUAAUCUAAAAUUUUAUAAUUUUUUCUUAUUAUCUCACGUCAUAUAGUAUACAUAUACUCACGUCAUAUAGUAUACAUAUACUAAGGGGAAGAAGAAGAAAAAUCGGGAGGACCAAAAUAAUGCUACGCUCAUUUCACGCGAGUUUUUUUUUUUUUUUUUUUGAGGGGGAGAAGGAAUGAAAAAUAACAUUAUAAAUUUAUAAAAAAACACAGUUAUAAUUGAGUUUCGAGUUAUACUGAUUAACAGUUUGAUUACAUAAUAUGAGGAAAAAAAAAUUGCUCUAUGUAUAUGUUGCUUGAUUACUUAGGUCUCAUAUAUAUAUAUAUAUAUAUAUAUAUUACAAACCAUUUUCUAUAUUCUUUAGCAUAAGACAAGUGAUUAAUAUGUUGAGAAAAUGGUUGUGGAUACUGCUAAAAUAUGAAAACUAUGAGAGAGUAUUUGUUUGUGGGAAUUUUCUGUGUAUUCUUCUCAUUGUAGGAGGUCAUAUUUAUAAUACAAUGAAACCUGAAUGGGCAAGUAAAUAAUAAAUUCCUAAAUCUAUUUACAGUAGGAAAUCAGGAAUUAAAGUAAAUCAAUUACAAUUAUAAUAGGAAUUCUUGGUGUGUAAGGAAAGUAAGUCAAUAUCCACAAGUCACGCCAACACUCCCCCUCACGUUGGUGCAUAGAUGUCGCCAAUGCCCAACUGAUCCAGUGAAUUGUGGAAUGCUUUACUGGAAAUCGCCUUUGUCAAAAUAUCCGCCAAUUGAUCCUCGGAUUUCACAAAAGGAAACUGAAACACUUUAGCCUCAAGCUUCUGUUUGAUGAAGUGUCGAUCUACCUCAACAUGUUUAGUACGAUCAUGCUGAACCGGAUUCUGUGCAAUGGCUAUAGCAGCCUUGUUGUCACAAAAGAGAUUCAUUGUGGAUGUAGGUUUAUACCCGAGUUCAAUAAGCAACUUUCUUAACCAAAGAAGUUCACAAAUCCCUUUAGUCAUGCCUCUGAACUCGGCUUCUGCACUGGAUAAAGCUACUACAUUUUGUUUCUUGCUCCUCCAUGUCACCAAAUUACCUCCCACGAAUGUGAAGUAACCCGAUGUGGAUUUUCUAUCUGUUACAUUACCUGCCCAAUCUGCAUCUGAAUAACCAUCAAUAUUUAGAUGACCAUGCUUUGAGAACAUAAGUCCUUUUCCAGGUGCAGACUUCAAAUAUCUAAGUAUCCGAAGAACUGCAUUCAUGUGGUCUUCACUUGGAGAGUGCAUAAAUUGACUGACAACGCUCACCGCAUAAGCAAUGUCUGGUCGAGUAUGUGACAAAUAGAUCAAUCUUCCCACUAACCUUUGGUAUCUUUCUUUGUUAGUUGGAACUUGAUCCGGAUAUUCUCCAAGAUGAUGAUUCUGAACAAUAGGAGUGUCCGCAGGUUUACAAUCUAGCAUUCCUGUGUCUGUCAACAAGUCUAAGACAUAUUUCCUUUGAGAGAGAAAUAUGCCUUGCUGCGAUCGAGCCACCUCAAUUCCCAAGAAAUACUUGAGUCCACCUAGAUCCUUCAUCUCAAACUCCGUAGCCAGAUAGUCUUGUAGCUGUGAUAUUUCCUGUUUAUCAUUCCCAGUAAUAAUCAUAUCAUCAACAUAGAUUAUUAAUGCUGUUACCUUCCCUUUUUGAUGUUUCAAGAACAGAGUAUGAUCUGAGUUGCACUGUUUGAAACCAUUGUUCUUCAUUGCCAUGGUGAACCGUCCAAACCAUGCACGUGGUGACUUGUUUCAAUCCAUAACAAUGCUUUUCGUAACCUGCNNNNNNNNNNNNNNNNNNNNNNNNNNNNNNNNNNNNNNNNNNNNNNNNNNNNNNNNNNNNNNNNNNNNNNNNNNNNNNNNNNNNNNNNNNNNNNNNNNNNGGAUCACAGUUUGGGGACACAACGUUUACGAAAGUGUUUGUUGGAGGGCUCGCUUGGGAGACACCAACUGAUGAAAUGCGUAGAUACUUUCAGCAGUUUGGGGAGAUUCUUGAGGCUGUCAUUAUUGCUGAUAAGAACACUGGAAAAUCUAAAGGCUAUGGAUUUGUAAGUCUUUGAUAUUUUAAUCAAAGAUCGAUGGGUUAUUUUUAUUUUGUCUUCUGGUUUGGCUUACUCUUGUGUUCUAAUUUUAUGACUAGGUGACAUUUCGUGAUUCGGAAUCGGCAAGGAGGGCUUGUGCAAAUCCAAACCCUGUGAUCGAUGGAAGAAGAGCAAAUUGUAACAUUGCUUCGUUAGGACGUCCUCGGCCUUCACCCCCGAGAGGUACAUUACAUAUUUCAACCCGCAUUUGAGGUCCUGCAUUCGAUUCUCCCCUCUCUCUCGUAUCGUUGUAUAACUUUGCUAAAACUGUGCAUUUUCAUGGUUUAUACAGGAAGAAAUCAAGCCUCCGGUCCAUACCAGGGAAGUGCACCACAGGCUGCACAAUCGUAUGGCGGAGCGCCGCCAUUGCCACCACCGCUGCCGCCACCAGCCCCUAUUAUAUAUCCACCUUACAGGUAAGAAAUGUUGCAUUAUUAUUAUUUUUAUAACAAUUAAAGCUUUUUUUUUUUUGGAGGGUUAAAGAGAAAAUGGUCCAUGCAUAUGCAAUGAAUUAAAUAAGUGUCGUUUUUUAUGCUACAUAUAAAUAAAAUAUUUCCUCGGUACAGUUGGUAUCAACCUGUAAAUAGCAAAUAUAAAUCAUGUAAAUUGACCUUCGUAGAGAAGGUGGGGUGCCAUGUUCUCUUGAUGUACAUAUAUUAUGAUACAUUGAUGGAUAUAUUGACCAAAAUCAUCUAUAAAAUACAGCAUUAAUAUUAUAUUAUUAAUUGCUGAAAAAUGUAAUUGUUUUAAGGAAAUUAUAAAGAUUAAUGGAGCUACAUUUGGUAGAUGAAGACGUGAAUAGAUUACAGUGAUAUUACUUAAAAAGAAACAAAUGGUCAAUCUUUGUCUUCAUCGGUCAACUCUAGGGUGGUGCUUCCUAAGUCUUUUGUGUUUUCCAACUUUGUUCCCCUUUUUACAAGUUCUACCCUAAAACCAAUCACUCAUACAUCUCAUUAAGUCAAAGUUAACUUAAUCUCUGUUAAUAUGAUCAGUGCGAAACACUUUAAGAAGCAAAUUAUUAUUAUUAUUUUGUUAUAAUAGAAGCGAUAUUGGAUAUUGGGGAGGGAGAAUNNNNNNNNNNNNNNNNNNNNNNNNNNNNNNNNNNNNNNNNNNNNNNNNNNNNNNNNNNNNNNNNNNNNNNNNNNNNNNNNNNNNNNNNNNNNNNNNNNNNNNNNNNNNNNNNNNNNNNNNNNNNNNNNNNNNNNNNNNNNNNNNNNNNNNNNNNNNNNNNNNNNNNNNNNNNNNNNNNNNNNNNNNNNNNNNNNNNNNNNNNNNNNNNNNNNNNNNNNNNNNNNNNNNNNNNNNNNNNNNNNNNNNNNNNNNNNNNNNNNNNNNNNNNNNNNNNNNNNNNNNNNNNNNNNNNNNNNNNNNNNNNNNNNNNNNNNNNNNNNNNNNNNNNNNNNNNNNNNNNNNNNNNNNNNNNNNNNNNNNNNNNNNNNNNNNNNNNNNNNNNNNNNNNNNNNNNNNNNNNNNNNNNNNNNNNNNNNNNNNNNNNNNNNNNNNNNNNNNNNNNNNNNNNNNNNNNNNNNNNNNNNNNNNNNNNNNNNNNNNNNNNNNNNNNNNNNNNNNNNNNNNNNNNNNNNNNNNNNNNNNNNNNNNNNNNNNNNNNNNNNNNNNNNNNNNNNNNNNNNNNNNNNNNNNNNNNNNNNNNNNNNNNNNNNNNNNNNNNNNNNNNNNNNNNNNNNNNNNNNNNNNNNNNNNNNNNNNNNNNNNNNNNNNNNNNNNNNNNNNNNNNNNNNNNNNNNNNNNNNNNNNNNNNNNNNNNNNNNNNNNNNNNNNNNNNNNNNNNNNNNNNNNNNNNNNNNNNNNNNNNNNNNNNNNNNNNUUGUCCCACGGAACUACCAACUCAGGGACACAUUUCAGAGUGAAUUAAUGUAAAUGGAGUAGUACACUUGUUCGUACUCAACGGGUAGGGCACACGGUGACUCUUGGCCAAAAUACAAGUAUCACAUGUGAAGUCAGAGUCUUUGAAACCUGAGAAUAAAUCUGGUAUAAGAUGCUUCAUAUAACUAAAAGACGGAUGUCCCAAUCGACGAUGCCACAACCAAAUUUGCUUUUGUUUGCUAUCAAAGGAAUGUGUCACACUGUUAGCCACGCCGGGACUGAAGUCAUCGACAUAAUAUAGCCCCCCUCUCUUAGUACCACGACCAAGAAUCUCCUUAGUGUGAAUAUCCUGAAGCAAACAAAAACUCGGGUAAAUGAGUACACAACAAUUCAAUUGUUCAGUAAGCUGACUAACUGACAACAAUUUAGUGGAUAAAGAUGGAACAAGUAAAGUAUUAGACAGUGUGAGAGAGGAUGAGAGUGCAACAGUGCCAGCCCCUGUCACAGGAUAAGUAACACCAUUGGCAUUUGCAAUACAUGUUCGUCGAGGUUGUGUAGUAUUCAAAAAAUCAUCAGGAUCAAACGUCAUAUGAUCAGUUGCACCAGAAUCAAUUAUCCAGCUCUUGGAAUCAAUCUUAUCGGAAGUAUGGAAUCCAUAACCAGUACCAUUACUGGUCAUAUUGCAUUGUCCUCGAUCUGUAAGAGUAGCCCACCAAUCGGGGUAGCCAUGCGAUGUAAAACAAGUCUCACAAGUGUGUCUCGGAUCACCACAAUAUGCGCAAUUUGGUCCAUGUGUCGGGGUCGUUAGUCUAGAAGUCAUAAGCUGUGCAGCGGAAGAAGCAUAGGAUACAGGUUGAGUAGGAAUUUGGAUCGGAAUCUGAGCAUGAGUCGGGGCCGGAGUCGGAGUCGAAAUCGGAAUCGGGGUCUGAAUCAUAGACAAAUUCGAGGUUGGGGUCAUCAUCGAAGUAGGGGUCGUGGUCGUCUUCGGAGUCGGGGUCAGGGUCGUCGUCGUCAUAGUCGGGGUCGGGGUCGGGGUCGUCAAAAGAAGAUCCUGAUUCUGGAUCGGGGUCUGAAUCAUAGACAAAUUCGGGGUUGGGGUCAUCAUCGGAGUGCGGGUCGGGGUCGUCUUCGGAGUCGGGGUCGGGGUCGUCUGGGCACUCAACUCAACGAUGGUUGGUUGAGAAUGAGAGAAGGAGUCGGUGGUGCUACCUCCAUGAGGGUUGAAAAAAUCAUCAACCCUCAUAGCGGCGGCGGAGUUUUGAAACUAGAGUCAGCAAUUCCAAGAUCGCCGCUCUGAUACCAUGCUAAAAUAUGAAAACUAUGAGAGAGUAUUUGUUUGUGGGAAUUUUCUGUGUAUUCUUCUCAUUGUAGGAGGUCAUAUUUAUAAUACAAUGAAACCUGAAUGGGCAAGUAAAUAAUAAAUUCCUAAAUCUAUUUACAGUAGGAAAUCAGGAAUUAAAGUAAAUCAAUUACAAUUAUAAUAGGAAUUCUUGGUGUGUAAGGAAAGUAAGUCAAUAUCCACAAGUCACGCCAACAGAUACCUGUGGUUUUGAGUGGUCAUGCCUGCAACAAUUUUGAUAGUCAUUUUCUUUUUGGUCCGAAUCUUAAGUUUUAAUAAACCCCACUCUUGGUCUGACAUUAACCCCACUCUUUAAAAGCACUUAAAUACAAAUUUUUGUCGAACGAUGUCUCAGUACUGCGUUACAAUCCAUGAUGUGUCAUGCUGAAAAUAUGGACCGUCCGAGCUAAUAUUGACAUAUAGUACAAUUUGUCCUUCUAGCACCAGAAGAUAUAUAAUUUCCAUGAUCUUCUCUUUCCUUUCCUUAAUCUUUCAACUUCUAUAAAAUAAAAUAAAAAUUCUAUGUCUUCAACUAUUUCAUACUUAAAGAUUUGUUUAUCAUUGACAUGUUCCGAGUAAUUAGUUUUUUCUUUCUAAAAUUUUAGCUACUGAAUAAUGUGGUAAAUGAUACGACAAUAUCUUAUAGUUGCUAGAAACAAAUGAAGUUCAAAAUACGCCCAACAAAAUAAAUAAAGUACUGAACAUUUGUUGAGAUUCAAAAUUUUAAAUUAAGUUUAUCACGGUGUUUGUAGCAUUGCUUUAUAUUGUCAGACUAUUAAUCAUCGCCAUUGAUUUGGUCAUAUAUGAAAUUGUCUUUCAAUGGGUGUAUUAUUCUUAUAUAUUAGGGCAAACAACUGUGCUCUUAAAAUUUCUUUCUAAAUUGCUGCUAUAUGUAGAGCAUGUGCUCAUGUGGAAAUCUAUACUGUUGUUCUUGGUCUCAGAUUCACAGAAUCCACAACAUGCGUCUACAGAAACAGAAGCUGGAGUUGUUACUUCAGAAAGUACUCCAGAUGCCUAAAAGGACUCGUUGAUAUAUACAUGAUUUCAUGAAAAAAAUUUCAUUUGUAUAAACUUUAUAAUUAAAAGGUCAUGUUCUCUUUAUCAGCCGAUCAUUAUUUUCCGUUUGGCAGCCAUUCAUAGUAUUUUUUGGGUCGAAAUAGGUGAAUACUGCUUCAACAUUUCUUGUGUUCAACACAGCUAUUAUGUGGCAAGAAAAAGAUUAUCAACUAAUCAACCAACUCAUGCAUUUUUUUUGGUCUAUUCCCUUUCUAUAUUAAUUUACUUUGUUCAUUUUUAAACUGUAUCAUUUCUCCAGUAAAAUGUAUGAAGAAAUUUUGUUCUGGGCCCGUACGGGAAGUUAAUGUCGAACUUGAGCCAACACGUCUUACGCAAUUGAGCAAAAUGUGCAACUCAAAAUGUUAUGUAGUGGAUCUUCAUAUAGUGGCUUCUUCCAAACGAAUGCACCAUUUGUUACCAUAUGCAUCGAUGUUCACAGAGCAUUGCUACGCUUACCAAAUGACAUAACAGUAUGUAAUUCAUUCCAAUCUAAAUCGGCUAUGAACAGGGUCGGCCUUGGGCCUAGGCACCAAGGGCGAUGCCCAGGGCUCCAAAAUUUAUAUAUACAGAGAGGUUUCGUUGAGGGAUUGUAAGACUCACUCUAUAUUGUAUUUCACUAAUUCAAACCUUCUUUUUAUAGAUAUUCAUUCAAAUUCUACAAAAAAAAAAUCACUUGAAUAUAAUAUCAUUUGACCAUUCAAUUAAAUUAUUAAAAAUUAAGAACUCUUUUGAAGCACUGUGUUAAUUGAUAUUUUGUUGGUUUCAAUUAGAUGCCUUAAUGAUUUUCAAUUUAUCUCAUUUUUUGCAAGGAUGAUAUAUGAAUGAAGACUUGAAAAAUAGAUGGUUUGGAUCGUUGGAGGAAAAAAAAAAAUAGUAAGGUACCCUAGAGGGUGUCCCUCAAAUAAAAUAAUUUGAGGAAUCCCUCAAUGAAGGAGACUGUUUAUAUAUAUAGGGAUCUCUUAGUCUUCCUAUCUUUGUGCUUCAAUCUCUCACUGAAAAGCUCACACUUUAAAAUAAAAAAUAAAAAUCUAAUCUUUGUCUUUGAAACUGAAAGUGACCAAGAGAAGAGGAGCAUGAAAGUUUAAAAAACAAACUAGAUUUUUGAAUUCUUUAAAUUAUUAAUGUUAAUAAGUUGGGAAAUUUUUUGAAGUUUGUAAAAUGGAUAAAUGUUUUUGGGUUUAUGUAAUUUUCUGAAGCCUGUUUAUAGGAUUUGAACUGUCAGAGUCUCUCAAUACCAUUUCAUGUGUAAUUAGAGCCUGGGUGAUGAAGUAAGAGCAUCUCCAGGAGAGUCUCCAAAUUUUAGUCAAAUUCUAGCUAAAAUAGCUAAGAAGCCAUUAUGGCAAACUACUUAAAAGGUGCUUCGUCCAACAAUGCUCUCUAUUUUAGCUAACCUCAAAUAUUUUAUUAUUUCUUAAAAUUUAAACAUUUAGUAUACCUACUUUUCCAACUGCUAGUUUACUAGUCUUGGAUUUUUUUCUUGCUAGUUUAAGUAAUCCAUUUAGGUUGAUCCUUCAAUAGAUGCCAACAAUGCUCAUACACAAAUGCUAAUCCCAUGAGUUGUUGAUACAUUUCUUUUGCUUCUAAGAUAUGUACAGCAUUUUAAUAAUCAAUCAAACAGUUUGUAAAAAUACAAAUCAUUUACAGUGUCAAAAACACAAAUCAUUUACAGCGUCAAAAACACAAGUUAUUUACAGUGUCAAAAACACAAAUCAUCAUACACAUCAAGUAAGAAAUUUCAAAAAUUUCUCAUUUAUUUGCAAUAAUAAAUAUACAUAAUGACUAAAUUUGAUUGUAAAAUUUUGGCAAGAAGAUUACCCUGUCUUGUUCACAACAAAAUUCUUAGCUCUUUGUGGUUUCUUAGUGGGUGGUCUAGUUGGAACAAUCACUUGAGGCAUGUCAUUGUCCCCUUCAUUUUGGUUUGCAGUUGUGUAACCAAAUGUUGAAUAUGUAUUAUCUACAGAAUCCAUCUACAUAUAUAGCCUCAUGACAUUAAACCACCGUUAAGAUUAUUCUUAAAAUACAUUUUUGUAGAGAAGCACCUCCUAACAAAAACUAACGAGAAGCUUUGUGAAGCCACCCAUCAAACAAUUUGCAGGCAUAGUUAAGUUCAAAUCAACACAAACCAUAAAAUGCAUUAAUCUGAACCUUGCCUAACUUGAAAUGGUUGUAGGUAUUCAAAACUUGGCAAAUCAAGUAAUUUCAAACACUUCCAAGCAAAAACCUAGAAACCCAUAUACAAAUUUCAAACCUAGAAAUCCAUACACAAAUUUCAAGUAUAGUUUAAAAGGAAUUUUCAAAUUUCAUCUGGAAAGACCACUUAGAGUUCAAAGAGAGGUAGAGAAACAUAGAAACAAGGUGAGAGAGACUUCACAGAGAGAAGACGAUGGAGACUUUGAAGUUUUGAAUUUGAAUUUUUUAUUGUUGCAACGAGAUGGCUUGAAUUUCUCUCUCCUCCUUACUAGAUGUAGCAAGCCAAAAUUGUGUUCUCCAAAAUGGCGAGAGAGGUAGCGACGUUGCUAGAGUGUUGUUUUUCCUUCUUUUUCACCAAAAUAACUAGGGGUGAGAGAAUAAAGAGUCUUCUAAAGAUGCUCUAAGGUAAGCAUGUUGAGGACCUCGGCUCCUUCUCAAAAAUAGUCAAUCAAUUAACUAAGGGAAAAAGCCUAAUUUAAUUUAUGGCUUUGAGCUUUGGGCUGCCCAAAAGUUAAGGUCGACCGUGACUAUAAACCUCAUUUAUUUCUAAGUGUACACUUUAACAUAUGUACAUAUACAAAUUUGAGUAUAAUAUUUUUGGUGUUUAAAUUAUAAGAAGGUUGACAUAAUUUUAUGUGCAUUGUGUAGCCUUACGUAGAGAGAGAGAAAAAAAGAAGAAGAAAAGAAUACACGAGGUUUAUACUCUACGCGUUCAUCUAACCCCACACUUGUGACAAGAGAUCAAUUCUCAAACUUUGCCUCUUUCGGAAUCUUCAUGACUAAAUAUACACAUACACAAAACUAAGGAUGACGGGUCUCUUUCAUGUUAUGGUACAAGAUUUGCUCUCUUAAGAACCUCAUUUGCAUAAAAAUUUGCUAUUAGUUUAGUGAUGUUUCCCUUUUCAAUAUUGAAAGAAAUUUCAUGUAUCAAUCAACCCUCAUUUGUUAAACUUAAAAGGAGUGUGAUUUGCCUAAAGUUAAAACUUUGAAAUACACUUCACCCAACUCGUUCGGCCCACAAUUGGGCUUCAGCUCAGCCCUUGUUGAGUUGAGUAAACUCUUCUAUUAGAGCACCUCCACCCCAAAGGGGAAGGGCAAGGCAAGGUUCCUUUGUCUUUUUUGUUUCCACCCCUAUGGGCUAGGGCAAGGGCAAUUACUAUUCACAUAAGAUAUGAGCAGAUGAAUUUGUAUAGAGUUUUUGGUGUGGGAAGUAAAGAAUAUGGAUAGGUAUUUAUAUAUAUAAAAAAUUCUAAAAUUCUAGGUAUUUUUUUCAAUUUUUUUUAUAAAAAAAUUUUGGUUGUUAAGUCAUCAUUGUGUUAGCAGCCUUCGGGCAACAGCCCAGGCAAUUCUUGCCCGUGGGCUUGCCCCAGCUGGUGGGUCUCACCCCUUGCCAGGGCUGGACCUUGCGCACAGGAGGGGGUUUUUGGGCCUGGGGUUGGCUUUUUCCUGCCUCUGCCCCUUGCGCUGGAGCUGCCCUUAGGAGGUGAUCAAGCUUUGAGCUUGAAUUUUGGCCCAGUACUAAAGUUUUUUGGCCCCUUUUUUUUGGACCAUGGGCCAGUUGAUCCAAUAGCCCUCAAACUUUUUAGUUGAUGUUUUUUUUUUUUUUGAAAAAUUUAUUCAGUGAAUAAUUUGCCUCCUACGUCUCACAGUCUACACAAUGAUCACAUAAUGGCUUGAUGAUGUUGAUCAAAGUAUAUUGCUUUUGCUAGCUAUCACAUGGCUAGUUCAGCAUCGAAUGCAAAGAAAACCGCAUGCAUUCAUUCUUCUCUAAGCUAUAGAACUAGUACUACUGGCUUUACUGCUGUGGUAAAUGGUAAUUAAUUGAAAGAUAGCAUGUCAGCUUUCAGAAAAUAAAGGUAGCUAGGAUGAACGACUAAUCAAACUAUAUAGCUAGGUUAAGUAAAACUUGCACGUAAUGAAUAUUGAUUGAAAUGUCCACAUGCACAUCCUAAAUAACUAGAAAUUAAUGAUUCACCCUGCAACUCUCUCUCUCUCUCUCUCUCCCCUCUCCCUCUGCUCUUCUGUGUGUGUCUGGUGUGAGUUGACUGUUGGGUAUGUACAUUUGCAGAGAGAGAGAGAGAGAGAGAGAGAGAGAGAGAGAGAGAGAGAGUGCAUGAUGAUACAAAUUGCCUUAGAUUUUCAACCCUCUGUGGUGCAAAUGUUGCUAAAUUCAGAUGACAGGGGCCACAGAAUUUAAGGUUAUUUCCUUCCUUUCCCCAAAGAUACACACAGUGCAGACAGCACAUAGUUAUGACCCCCUCAACAAUGGUUCUUUUCACUCAACUGCAAUAUUCUCCAGCCAACCCCUUCUCUCUCUCUCUCUCUCUCUCUCAUGAUUACAAUGCAUUCAUUUCAAGCUAUGAUCUCAUUAUAAAUGCCUUGAUCUUAAAUCAAUUAUGUUGCACACCAUUCAUUCUAUGUAGUUUUAAUAAUUAGUGCUCUUAUAAUAUGGAGCCCUCUGAAUUUUCAUCUAGCUCCUCCCCCUUCUUUUCUGCCAAUGAUCAUGUUGAGACCCUCAAUCUUUUUCCAAAUUAUAAGACCCCAAAUGCUUAUCUUGAACCUCUACCACUGAUAAACUGCCUGCUUCGUUCACCUGAGCAUCAGGUGCCUAAUUACCAUGAUGAAAACCCUAAAGCAUGCAAUGAAGAUCAUAAAGAGGAUGAAGUCACUGUGGCCCUGCACAUUGGCCUUCCAGAAUAUUCAGAUGGCUCUAUGAACUAUUUGAAUGAGAAGGAAGAUGAAAACAAUGUGACAGCACAAAAAUAUUGGAUUCCAACUCCAGAACAAAUACUCAUUGGCUUCACCCAUUUUUCUUGCCAUGUCUGCUUCAAAACAUUUAACCGCUACAAUAAUCUGCAGGUACGUACGGUUAGUUGUCUAAAUUAUAAUCUAAGUCUCUUUCGAAUAUUUGGUACAAAAUUUCACAUAUAUAAGAUACAUACACACACAAAUGUUCAAUAUAUGAAUCCCUUUCACAAUUCGGUAAUUAAACUGAAGUCUAUUUGGUUGGCUUGGAGGGUUUUGGUUUAAUACCAUAUAUUAUUCCUUGAUUUUAAAAAGAAAACCUUUCGAGCCAACCAAACGGACUUCAGUUUAGCAUUCGAAACCCUCAAGCCAUGCUUUGGUUUGAUUAACAACGUUGGAAAAAUUUACUACCUGAACUUUAGAAGUUUCCUUUUAUAUGUUCUUAUUAAUUGAUUUCACUAUUCCUAUGCUUUUCACUGUCAUGUCAUCAUUCCCAUGGAAGAUGCACAUGUGGGGGCAUGGGUCGCAGUAUCGAAGAGGGCCAGAGUCACUGAAAGGAACACAGCCUCGAGCCAUGCUAAACAUCCCAUGCUAUUGCUGUGCAGAAGGUUGCAAAAACAACAUAGACCACCCAAGAGCAAAGCCUCUAAAGGACUUUCGGACCCUUCAAACACACUACAAGAGGAAGCAUGGCAUGAAGCCCUUCAUGUGUCGCAAGUGUGGGAAGCUGCUGGCAGUGAAAGGAGACUGGAGAACACAUGAGAAGAAUUGUGGCAAGCGCUGGCUUUGCAUUUGUGGUUCGGAUUUUAAGCACAAGAGAUCACUCAAAGACCAUAUCAAGGCUUUUGGCCAUGGCCAUAGACCUUUUCCACCUAAUUCUUUUGAUGAAGUCAGGGAUCUUGAUGAGGAUACUAGUACCACACCAUCGUUGUUUAAAGGCAUGUCAAGUGACACAACCUCUUAACGCAAAUGAAAAUUUUGUGUUCCCCUCUUGAACUUUUUAUGAUGAAGAAUCGUUGACGAAGAUUUGAAUGAAAAAUUCUAUGAGUUUGAUACACAAAUCAGUUGACUAUUUCCAUGAUAUUUUCCUUUCAGUAGAAAACUGUGGUGUCAUGUAAUUUAGAGAUCAUAUUUGUAAGGGAAAUUCUGAAAAAUAGCCAACUUCUCAGCACUGUAAAGAUUUUUAAAAUAAAAAAAGGUAAAAUUUGAACCAUUUUAACUAAAAAAAGACUUAGAAAGGCAGCAUGGGAAUUAAACUUGGCCACCAAAAGUUAGGAAACAAACAUCAACUGCGCUGCAGCCUGCACACAAUGGUUAGCGCUGCACAAUAAACUUGACUUUAUUGUGAUAAAUAGUUUGUUUCAACUUUCAAGCCCUCCUUGAUGCGAGACCCUAGGAGGUCGCCUCAUGGGACUCCCUUCAGGGCCGACCUCUUGCUAUUUCUUAGAGCAAAUAAUGUUUAUAAUAAUAAGAACUUACUAUGUAUGUGUCUAGCUCUCACGUUACACUACUAAGAAAAACAAUGGGCUUGUUUAUUGGUCUACAAAAGGGGUUUGUAUUGGCAUUUUUGGUGCCUAAUAUAUCGAAGUAGUAAUUUUUAGUAUAUUUGGUACCAAAAAAUUCAAUACAAACCCCUUUUGUGAAGAACCUAUCAUGUUGGCGAGUGUAAAAGUUUCUUUUCUACUUAAUUAGUUUAAGAUCCAUAAAUUGAUAAUAUUAGUGAGAAACACUUACUUUCAAGAGAGUUAAAAAUUUUUGAACAUUUUAGAAUUCCUUAACACUCUCAAAUUUCCUCAUCCCAUGUGCAUGACUUUAAGUGUUUUUCUAAAUUAUGAAUUAGACUUUUGAGAGGCUUAUUUGUGAAAGCCAUUUCUUUUUUCCCCAGUUACAAGUACUUGGGCUUACAAUAAGGCAUUAUUGUGCUUUCUCAGGCAUACACAGGAACUUUUGUGAAAAUGGAUGCUUUAGUGAGGGAACUUGGGUGGACGAUGAGUGGCAGCCUGGCAGGUGCUGGGCCAAAGCCAGCCAACAUCUGUUUUCUUUUUUCAAUUGUAUCCCAAGGUACAAAAGUGAAAUUUAAAGUUUGCCAAAAACUAAAGGGUCACGAAAAGUAAAAAUUCAAAGAGGGAUGAUAGAGACUCAGGUAAUGGUCAUAAUAAUGGAUAAUGCUCUAAAUUACUCGUAUCGAUAAAUGAAAAUUAUAGGGAAAAAAGGUAUCUAAAGAGUACAGCCGCACGGCUAUACUAUUAAAAAAAAUUAGAGAGAACCGAGUAUAGUCGUGCGGCUAUACCAUUGUUUAAAGAACCGAGUAUAGACGCGUUUAUUUUUUAAAAAGACCGCAGCGCUUAGUCUCUCACGUGUAAAAACAGUAUAGCCGUCGGCUAUCGCCCGGCUAUACUAGUUUAAAAAAAUUUAAAAGCUCGUAUAGCCACACGGCUAGACUAUUUUAAAAAAGCAAAAAAAAAAAAAAGAAAAAAAAAAGAGUACCUGCCUAUCCAUUAGCCUCUCACAUUCAUUCAUAGUUAGUAAAAUACAAAACGAAAAAAAAUAUGAAUAAAAUACGUAUGUGUUUUAUCCGGUAAAAUUUUGGCAAAUUACAACUUUAAAGUAUGGCCACUAUAUUAUAUUUUAAUAUAAUUCAUAUACAUUUUUAAUAUAUAUUAUUUUUAUUUAAUAAUUUGUGAGAAUUAUGUGUACAAUACGUGAUUUUUGUGUGUCUUAUUGAAAAUUUUGUAUUAAACACGUGUAUUAAACAUGAAAAAUACAUACGUAUGUGUACGAUACGUGUAUUGUAUGUUGGUUUUUUAAAUACGUAUAUUUUACCGAGUCUUUAAGACGUGUACGAAAAACAGAAGUAUUAUUGAAAAGCACAUACGUGUUUAAUACAAGUAUUAAACGGGAAAAUGCUAAAUUCUUUAAACGGUAAAAACUCACGAAAAGUAAAAACUCAAAAGGAGACAAUAGAGACUCGAGAAAUGGCAUAAUAGUAACAGAUAAUACUCUAAACUACCAUUGUAGACAGAAAUUUCGAGUACCAGAAGAACUUCUUUUGAAUUUAUUUUAAAAAUUUUAUAUAUUGGAGGAUUGGAAUGCAGGACUUCGAAUUCAAGUGUAAACACUCAACCCAUUGAGCUAACAUAAAAUCAAAAGUUGAAAUCACAUAAUUGAUGUCCCUUGCUUGAUAUAGUUUCUUGCCUUUUUGAUGGUUUGCUUGUGACAUGGAAUCAAAAUUCGAAAUCACAUCAUUGAUGUGUAUAUUGAUCAAAUGUUCCAUUUUAAAAUUACAAGAGUUCGUGAAGCAUUAUUAUUAGAUACGCCAACUUGGAAAGCAAGCACAUAAAACAAACAAAAAAGCAAAAAGGAACUUCUCAUGACCCAAGAAAUUCAAAAAAUACACAAAAGCACAUAAAAAUUCAAACAAAAAGGAACUUCUUAUCAGGAACAAGAUGAUCCAAGUAUGGACUGAAACAACUAGUUAGAUUCUAGUCAAUUCAGAUUUCUUGGAGAAAGAAGAACCCGGUUAAUCAUGUUGUCCAAAGCCAAGAAUGAUAACCCAUUUGGACCAGUAGCGGCCUCCUCUGCCAACUUCUUCCAUUCCGUGGCUUUCUUCCUCAUCUCUUUGCCCUUCUCUCCCUCCAUUAAUGUUCGCACAAGGUCCUCUAUGUAGUUUCUUUUAACAUCACCCUCUAUCUCUAUGCCUACGCCCCAUUCUUUGCAACAGAACCUGCAAUUGGUUUGUUGCUCUGCAAAGAAGGGCCAACAGAUCAUGGGCACUCCACCACACAAACUUUCAAGGGAAGAGUUCCAUCCACUGUGUGUCAAGAACCCUCCUACAGCUGGGUGGCUCAGGACUUGUUCUUGAGGGCACCAACUUGAGAAUAGACCCCUUUCUUCGGUCUCUUCCAAAAACUCCGGUGGAACCACAGCGGAUUCUCCAAGAACAAGGUCAGGCCUUAUAACCCAUAAAAAGGCCUUGUUGCUAUUUGCAAGUCCCCAAACAAACUCAAUUAGUUGCUCAGAUGUCAUGACUGUGAUGCUUCCAAAGUUGACAUAAACCACAGAAUUUGGUUCUUUUGAGUCAAGCCAUUCAAGGCACUCUGUUUCUUCUCUCCAUAGAUUUGAUUCAAUCGACUUCAAAUUGUUAUAAUCUGGUGGAAUCUGACUAACCUGUAGUUGAAGGGGUCCAAUGCAGUAAAUAGGUGGUAGCAAAGUCGAAAGUGCAUCCAGAACUUCAAGCUCUAAGGCGUCAAAUGUGUUGAAAAUGAUUGCUGAAGCUUUCUGGGCUCGUUCGUACUCACUCACAAGAUAUUUCAGCAUGAUGUCAUUUGGAUCUGUGGUUCUGACGAAGGUUGGCAAGUCCCUCAAACGAAUAUGUCUCAUGCCUGGUAUCCAAUCUAUUACAGUAUCUAAAUACCCAUUUGUCAAAUAGCUGGCAUCUGCAAAUCAAAUAGGUCUUCUGAGUCAAACAUUCUAACCAAAAAAGAAAAAAAAAAAAGUUAACAAUUUUAUUAUGUAGUGUCCCCAAAUGACCAGUGAGGAAUUUGAAGUAAAUUCCUCUUUUUUUUUUUAAUUGAUUAUUUUUGAAGAUUGAAAUAUUCUUUUAUUAGACAAAUGCGAACGUUGUUAGAUUGAAUAUAUAGUAUACAAGAGUCAACUUGAUUACUAUUCAGAUUCACAUUCUAAUAAUAUAAAUAUUGUUUGACAAGUGAACGUUCUUGUCAGUAUAAUAGUACCUUUAAGAGGAAUUAAACCCUUUUCCAUCAGAGGGAGAUACUGAAGGUAACCCAACGAGCCACAAGCACUCGUUGUUUCGAAAAGAACACAGGGAAUGCCAAAUUCUUGGGCUGCAUCAAGUGAGAAUGUCAUGCCACCAUCAGAAACUAAGCAAGUAACUGGAGGGGAAUGGGGUAAAGAGUUAAGCUUUGAUAAAAGGUCUCUGAAGGGUGCUAAGCAAUUUUUACUAGUGGAAAGGCAUAGGGAUGGUAUGUCUUGGGUGGCGUUGUCAUCAGAUGGAGGGAGGCCAUCAGGAAUGGUCUCGAAUUGAAAGGAGGGGAGGCCGUCGAGAGAGUUGGGACCUCGAGAUUUAAGGAGGCGUUUGUGGUUGAACUCUGUGUUCACAAAGGUUAUAUGAAAACCUUUGUAGUGGAGGAGCUUAGCUAAUUUCAGCAUUGGGGUUAUGUGACCUUGAGCUGGGUAGGGUAUGCAAACUGCAUGUGGCUUCUUUGUCAAGGCAACAGAACCCAUUCUCUCGUUUCUCUCAAAUCACACACAAAACCUAUGGAAAAUAGGAUAUGCUAUGGUGAAGAGCACCUGCAGUUUUAUAGCAGUGACAUACAAUGUCAAUAAUUGGUGGUCAAUCAUGGACCUGGACAUGUACAUUGUAUUCUCUGAUCAACUUUGCCACAUUUUUAAAUCAUGACCAUUCCUUUUAUUUCCAUUCCGCACCAAUCAUGUCUAAUUAACGACAAAUCGUUAUGUUCUUCAAUCUAGAAUGCGAGAAACGUGUGAAACAGAACAUGUAUAAUCACUAUAUUCCUCAGGCAGAUGUGAGCCAUACCCAAGUUUGGCCAAGCCCAAAAGCAAGACUUGUUUGGGCAAGCUAACCUCACGUUGACGUCAAUAGCCAAUUUAAAUAUUAAAAAAACGAGAAAAAAAAAUGAAAAAAUUCAGAAUUUUUUAUAUAUAAAUACCUAGUCAUAUUCUUCACUUCUCACACCAAAACUCCAUAUAAAUUUAUCUCCUCAUAUUUCAUGUGAAUAGUUGUUGCUCUUGAGUUGCCAUAACAAUGGGUGGGAAUGCAUAAAAAAGAUUUGCUAAGGCAGUCACUAUUCAUAUGAACAGUAAUAGUCCUUGUCUUUUGCCAUGGCAAAUGGGUGAUAGUACUCUAAGAAGAGGGACAUUGCACCCAACGAAAACUAGGUCAAAGCAUAAUAAACAUGAAUGGGCGAAAUAAUCUACGCGAAACCUAGCAAAUAAUAUGAGGCAUAGUUGUAAAAACUAAGGAUAAUAUAGUAAAUUAACAAUUUUUCAUAUUAAAAUUUUUUUUAAAUCAAAAUCAAAGUAAAAACAUGGUCCUAUUUUCACGAGACACAAAAAUCAAACUCAUUUUCUCUUUCGUAAUUUUAAAGUUAAAAAAAAAAAAAAAACAACUAGUGUAUCGGCUAAGUAAGAUAUGAGGAACAAUACGGCUUUUUAUAAAUUCAGCCAGAUAACUCAUGGUGUGGUUACUAAUCAGGAAUUGGAAUUCUCAUCAGGAAUUGAAUUCCACUUAUAGAGGAAUCCUGUGUUUAUUUCGUAUCAAGGAAUUGAAAAGUGAGUGGGGUCCGCACGAAAUUAGGAUUUGAAUUCCUAAUUUUGGAGGAAUUCAAUUCUUGGAUGGGAGGUGAUAUUCUAAUUCUUGGAGAAUUAACCCAUUAGGAAUUUAUCUUUUUUACCCAUUAUAUCCUCACACAAUUUUCAAAUUUUCAAAUUUGCCAUCUACUUAAACCCAACAACUAGGACGAUUUAGUAAUUAGUACCACUCAUACCCCAAUUCUAUAUGGUUUAGUAAACAACUUCAAUGAAAAUCUGAAAUCUAAUUCUCCUUAAUCCAACUCUUCCUCAAUUCAAUUUCUUUUAAUCCAAUUACGAAUAAACAUGCCAUCAGUUGCUUGUUCGGCCUGGUGUCUGAUAUUCAUUAUAAGUUGGGCUGAGCCCUUUUGGGCUUGCCUUGUUUUGGAACUUCUUUUUUUAUUUUUCUUUUUUGUGCUUAAUAUAUUUUUGUUGUACAGAAAAAAAAAAAGAAAAAAAAAGAAAAAGAAAGUGAUAACAGCACCGAUCGAGCUUUCAUGAAAGCACAUGUAUUCAUAGUACAAUUAUAGAGAGAGCACGUCAUCUUAGCCAACUUGCAUAUUAAUCCAAAAACCUGCCAAGGAACAUGGUAUGCAAGCAGUAUCACCACUGGCACCACAGAUAUCUGAUUUCUAAUGUCAUGCUAUGUUUCAUACGGCAGAUGGAUAGGGCUUUAAAGCACAAAUCAGAUCUUCCAAAUCUCGGCAAAAAUUUACCUAUUUCAUUGCAUCAGCUCCCAAGAAAAUGCCAGUCCUUGAGCCAUAUUAGACAUCCAUUUCUUUUUGUCGUGCUAAAUAUUGAAAAGCCAACAUGGAGUGGACCACCUAAGAGCAAACAAAUCCUUUAAGAGUCGGUCCAUUUGGAUGGAGUGAUUUCAAAUUCCGGGAGUUUGAAGAAAUUAUAAGGUUAAAUUUUUUUAUUUAGAUUAUUACGAUAUAUGUAUACUAAGAUUUGAAUAAGAAUGAAAUGACGAAAACAAAUGAAUUAUUGCACAUAGUCAUUUGAAACUCAUUCCGAAUAUACUAUAUUUACGGCUAGUUAUCUCAAACACAUUCGAUCUAAUCUUUUCUUUCUGCGACUUCCAUCCAAACGGAGCCAGAUUUCGGGCCUUUCAAACGCACUACAACAGGAAGCAUGACAUUGACAUGGAAGCCCAUUACGUGCAGCAAGUAUGGCAAGUAGUUGGCAGUGAAAGAUGACCGGAAACGCAUGAGAAGGAGCAAGCGUUGGAUUUGCAUUUGUUUUUGUGGUUCAGAUUUCAAGCACAUCACUACAAAAAGUAAGUGGAAGAUGUUGACAUAUAUGGAGAAAUCUCCAAUGCUGUCUAUAAUUAUUGUUAGGUUUGAAUAAUUCUCAUGGUAACAAAAAAUGUGAAGACACGGAUGCCAGAGAACGAAAGACAAGGGCUGCAUGGAAAUUAUUAUUAUAUUUUGGUCGAAAGAUGGAAAUUAUUAGAAAAAGUACAAAUAAGUGCCCGUCACACUCCAGACAAGUGGGCAUUUGCGUGAGAUUCCACUCCUACAUGCCCUUUGGAGGAGGGAAAGGUUAAAAUUUGUUUGAGUUGUUCUUCUUUAUUUUUCCAUUUAUCAACAUGACUUUCUACUUAUAAUUGUAUUUUGAAGUGAGAAUUAGUGCUUAAAACAUGGAAUUAAUUAGUGGAUACAAGUGAGGUCCGAAAGAGAAAAGUGAACUCAGUUUGUAUUUUAGUAAAUAUAUGGAAGAAAACUCCAUUUAGAUCCAAAACUUGAAUUGGAAAAUUUUAAUUUUAUUUCCUGAUACCAUUUUCGGUAAAAUUCUACGCGUCUCAAUUAUACAACCAGCCAAAUUAAGCUAAUACAAACGGUUUGAUUGAGUUUUUACACUAAAAAAGUUAAUCUUAAACGAAACUGAACCAAAUAGCAAUUAUUCAUGAAAGCUACAUAAACCGAAUCAAACUACCUAUAUUAAUCUUUGUUUUUUUUAACACCUAACAUUUUCUGUAUUGGUUAUUAUCACCAUCUCAUGUGUUUGUUUCAUUCCAUAAUGCACCUCCUUUUUAUUAUUAAACUUCUCCAUCUUCAAUGGAACUAAAAUGUUUGCUUAAUUAUUGUUUAUGCCACUAGUUUAAGAUCUAAAGCAAACAUGAUAUUAUAUUACAGUUCGGAUAAUGAUCAAAACCGAAGGUGAUAAUGUAUUAAAUUGGCGUGAUGUUCUAGGUGUAAACUAAAGUGAACUAAACAAGGCGGAUCCCUUCAAAGCGCCGCUGAUUGCAUUGCAUGCAUAAGAUUGUGAUGCAACACUGGAGUCUGGAGAGCCAUGAAGCCAAUGCACAUUAACACUGGAGUCUGGAGAGCCAUGAAUUCAAUGCAAUGUGCAUUGGCUGUUGGACUAAUUCGUAAUAAACAUUAGAUAUUAAUUGAUGAUCUGACGAAGCCGUUCAUAAGCAAUGAAUAUGUAUAUUUGUGCGUUAUAGAGUGAUACGGUAUCAUCACGUCAACUAGUGAUAUUCUCAUUUAAAAUUUGAUAUGUAUCAAUUUUAAAAGAAAAUUAAAAAACAAUUACACAUGAACUUUGUCUUUCAAGUUCACCCUUCAACAUUAAUUAGACCUAAUCCCUCUCCCACCAUCUCUUCUCUCUUUUCCCUCGCCACCCACCCCAGCCUUUCUCUCCCUUCUCCUCCAACAUCACCAACCCCUCUUUACCUCCCUCUCAUUAACGCAUUAAGAAAAAACCAAAAAUCUUGUCUUGAAUAUAUAUGUGCAAAUCAGAAAUAUUCAAAAGCAUCUUCUAUGAUGAUAAGUUGACAACCCACAAAUGAAAGAAAUGUAAUGAUGGAUGUUUUGGGCAACCAAGUAACCUGGUAGACAGAUUGCCGAUGGGAUCUUGGUGGGACACUGCUACAAUCUUGUUUUCUUUUUCAUGUUUUUCAAAAAAAGUUAAAUAAAAUUUAUUCAGAGUAAAGUUAGAAGACAAAGUACAACUAUGAAAAAAAUAUAAUUAUUUUUUUAAAAUUGACACGUGUUAGAUUUUGAGUGGGAGUAUCACCCGUUGACGUGGUGAUACCAUCUUAUUCUAUAAUUUCUCCUGUGCAUAAAGCCAUAUUAUAUUAUUAGACAACUAUAUAUAUAUAUAUUUUUUUUUUCUGCAAUGAAUUUAAGCUCAAUCUCAGUAGAAACUAUUAUAUUUCGUUUGGUGGUUCGGAUUAAAUUAGAUUAGAAUUGAAUUUAAGCUAGUUCUUAUUAGUCUUAUUCAUUUUUAUAAGAUACAAUAUGUAGAAUGGUUGUCCAUUUUAAUAAGAUCAUUUCCGGAGCACCGAAACAAUUAAGACUAUAACCAUUUAAUUGAUAUAGUCCAGUACAAUCCCACCCAGGGGCAGUUCUACACCUAGGGCAAGGUAGGUUGCUGCCUAUCCCAAAUUUUUCAAAAAGGAAAAAAUACCCAUAUGUAAUAGGCCAACCCAUGUGAAACAUACAAACCUAUGCCCACCCAAAAAGCAACCCACAUGUAUGCAUAAUCUAAAAUUUCUCUCCUCCUUAAUUAUCUUCUCUUUAAUUUCCUACCUCCAAAUUUUAAGAUGUUGUAUAUGACAACAUUGAAUAUAACAUAUUUUAAAUAGGUUAGAAGUUAUGUGUUCUAAUCAAUUUUAGGGUUUACUUAAGAAUGAAUUAUAAUUUGUUGACUUUGUUGAAAUUAAUUAGGUCUUUGGAAUUUUGUUGAGAUGUUUGAUUUGAUAUUGGUAUUGUUGAGAAGUUUGAUUUGUUGUUGGUAUGUUAAUGUUUGAUUAAAGUCAUUGAUGCUAUUAUGACAAUUUAUUUGAUUUUUUGUUGGGAUGUUGGAUUAAAUAGGUUAUCUUUUGGGAUGCCUAUGCCUAUGCAAUCUUAGUUGGGAUGCCUAUGCUAGAGUUUCUUCGAUCUUGCCUGAUCGUUAGUGGAGACAUACAUGAUUUUCUUAAUUUUAAUAUUAGACCACUCUGUUAUUGUAAUGAUCCUUUUGUGGCUAGUUUGUAUUGACCUUUUAUGGCUAGUGGCUUUUUUGGCUGAAUUAUGAAUGCAAUCAUAGAAUUUCUCAAAAAAAAAAAAAAAAAAGGUUAUCUUUUGUUAUAUCGGAUCACAAUCUGAACCCCAAGAAAACAAAGAAUUUUUUGGAUUUUUUUUUAUAAGAAAAAGAAUAGGUUUUUUUUUUUGGCUAAACUUUUAUUUAUAUAUAGAGAUGUAUUUGAGGGUAAGACUUAUUACGUCCCCCUACUAAAGUGUAUAUUUUUAUGUUUUUUUUUUUUUAAUGAGAUUCACUCAUAACAUUGAGUUUUUAAUGUAGACUUCGCCCAACUGAAUUUCGAAUCUUGAAUCCACCAUUAAUCUCACCCACUAUACACACAUGAAACUGCAAAUUAAGAACAGAAAUAGUACCCUUUAUUUAGAUUAAUAGGCAGUUGAAUUUCUCAAAAGCCUCGGCAAACGGUACAUAUUUUAUUUUUUUUAUCAGGAACUGGAUGAUCCAAAUACAGAUUAAAACACCAGAAAGAAAAAAAAGAACAAGAUGGAAUUGAAUCAAUUCUAAUCUCUUGGGGAAAGAAGCACUUUGCUAACCACAUUUUCCAGAGCCAAGUAAGACGACCCUUUUGGGGCAGUGGCGUCCUCUGCCAACUUCUUCCAUUCAAGGGCUUUCUUCCUCAUCUUUUUGCCCUCUUCUCCAUCCAUCAAUGUCCUCACAAGACCGUCAAUGUAAUCUCUUUUAACUUCCCCGUCUAUCUCAAUGCCUAUGCCCCACUGUGUGCAGCUGUACCUAACAUUUGUUUGCUGCUCUGCAAAGAAAGGCCAGCAGAUGAGAGGCACUCCGCCACACAAGGCCUCGAGGGUAGAGUUCCAGCCACUGUGAGUCAAGAACCCUCCAAUGGCUGAGUGGAGCAGAACCUGUUCUUGAGGGCACCAACUUGCCAACAUACCCCUCUCUUUGGUCUCCUCCAAAAACUCAGGCGGCACCACAGCGGUUUCUCCAGCAACAAGGCCAGGCCUGAUGAUCCACAAAAAUGGCUUCUUGCUAUUUGCAAGUCCCCAAGAAAACUCAACCAGCUGCUCAUUUGUCAUGACUGUGGUGCUUCCAAAGUUGACAUAAACCACAGAGUUGGGCUCUUUGGUGUCCAGCCAGUUAAGGCACUCUGUAUUCUCUGCCCACAGGUUCGAUCCGAUCGCCUUCAAAUCAUUGUAUUCUGAUGGAAUCUCGCUGUAUGGUAGCUGAAGGGGUCCAAUGGAGUAAAUAGGAGGUAGCAAAGUGGAAAGGGCAUCCACAACUUCUUGCUCCAAGGCAUCAAAUGUGUUCAAAAUAAUAG